UUCCGCAGGCCCUCGUCCGCGCGGACCAGCUUCCGGGCACGGUCGUUGGCGGCGCCGCACCGGUCGUAGUUGUCGAACAGCGCGUUCGGCAGGUGGCGCGCGGCGAGCACGAGCGAGCUGAACGGCAGGGGGCCUGACCCGACGAAGGCGACGCGGGAAGGCGCCAGGCCCGGGACAUAGCGGACCAGGAGGUCGUACUCCAGCUUGCUCAGGUUGACGUAGUUGCUGAAGUAAGGGAAGCGGCCGAGGUGGUCGAGCGGGUUGUCGAAGCCGGCGAGCAUGUCGGCGUAGUGCGCCUCGAGGUGUCCCUCGGCGUCGGAGCAGAGGCGGAUGAGCUCCUCUCGCAUCCUCUGCGCGUCCGGGCCGAGCUUGGUCACGUCGACGGGGCUCGGUGGGACGCAGGCCAUGACGAGCUCGGUGAACAGCGCGUCGACGUCGGGGGACGGGCUCAGCGAUGGCAGCUUGGUGAUGGCGGCGUGCAGGCCGGUUAUCUUCUGCACCAGGGCAGAAACCUCCGUCUUUGCGUGGGCGUCGAUCUUGCGCGCGAUGAUGACAGAGUUGAUCACCUCGCCGUCCGGGUGGUACACCGUCAGAACGUCGAACCCGCCGCGACGGAUGUCCUCGGGAUCAACGAUGGGGUACAGAAACCCGCGAGCCCCGUGCGCGCUCCGCACGACGAGAGCCGCCCCGUCGGCCAUGUGCCUGCCAAGGUGCGCCACCACCUUGGCCUUGUCCUCGGCCGCCAUGCCGACGAGCGCCGCAAGGAAGACGACGUCGUACUUGCCGAGCUCGUCGGUCAGGUUGGCGACGUCCACCGUGUGGAAGGACAUGCGCGCGUUCAGGUCCUUGUCCGCACGGACCAGCUUCCGCGCACGGUCGUUGGCGGCGCCGCACCGGUCGUAGUUGUCGAACAGUGUGUUGGGCAGGUGGCGUGCGGCGAGCACGAGCGAGCUGAACGGCAAGGGACCUGACCCGACGAAGGCGACGCGGGAAGGCGCGAGCCCUGGGAUGUAGCGGACCAGAAGGUCGUACUCGAGCUUGCUCAGGUUGAUGUAGUUGCUGAAGUACGGGAAGCGACCGAGGUGGUCGAGCGGGUUGUCGAAGCCGCCGAGCAUGUCGGCGUAGUGCGCCUCGAGGUGGCCCUCGGCGUCGGAGCAGAGGCGGAUGAGCUCCUCCCGCAUCCUCUGGGCGUCCGGGCUGAGCUUGGUCACGUCGACGGGGCUCGGCGGGACGCAGGCCAUGACGAGGUUGGUGAACAGAGCGUCGACGACGGGGGACGGGCUCAGCGACGGCAGCUUGGCGAUGUCGGCGUGGAGGGCCGCGAUCUUCUGCACCAGGGCAGCAACCUCCACGUUCUGGGCCUCCAUGGAAGUUGGUAGUUUCGCUGCUAAAGUUGCAGUUGGGAAGCUGGUGAGGAGCACGAGAAGCAGCUGAUCGAUGGUGUCUUGAGCUCAAGAGCAGGCAAGUGUUCCAGAACUCGUGCUGCUUGAUGAGAAAUGGAACAGGGGCAGAGGGUAUAUAUAGAAUGUCUCGGCAGUUCGUUCAUCAGUGCCUCACUGAUCUGGCCUUCAGAUGCGGCAUGUAAACUGAUGGCAGCUCAAGUUGACGUACAGGUGUUUUGUUUACAUGUGGCUGUGUAUUAGUGAUAGUUUAUUAUUAGUACCUGAGAGGACUAGGACUACGAGAGUACGAGACGUCCCAUUACAUGGCAAACGCAUGGCGCGCUUCACGCGUCCACCAUGGCCAAGGCCAGUUUCAUGCCUCGUUAUUAUGGUGUUCCGAUCUUCAACACGUCCACGUCACUCCCUGAAAGUGGUAGCUCUGAUUUUGGUCCUUUCCCGAAGUGGGUUUGCCACGUCCACAUCAUGACCUUGGUCAGGCGCUGAGCAUCUCCACCUGAGAAUAAAACCCUUUUUUAAAAAAAAAAAUAGUGAUAAAGAAACUAAAGACAUAAAUAAGUUUUUGUUAAAAAUUUUCUUGAUGGAGAAAACUUCUCCCUCAAUCCCAAUAAAAGAAGGGAGAGAGUUUCAAAAAAAAAGAAAGAAAGAAGGGAGAGCAAGCCAAUCUCCUUUUUCCCUUCCAUGUUGCCACGUUGGCAUGGUCUACAUCAAAGUUAGAGCUAUCAAUAUGUUCUACAAAUUUUAGUUGAUACUAUUUUUAUCCGAAUUCUUUAGAUGUCGAAAUGUUCAUUUUAAAUUCUCGGAUAUUGAUUUUUUUUUUAAUUUUUCAAAUGUCAAAAUUUGGGAGCACUAAAUGAUCUUAAAUAAAAAGGUUGUCAACUCUAUAGUUAUAGAUCAUGUUGAAAGUCACAACUUUCGUGUAUACCAAGUCAACACCAGUGAUCAUUUGAAAAAUUUUAAAAAAUGAACUUUAAAAUUAGAAAACUUAAAACUAAAAUUUGGGUCUCUAAACAAUCUCAAAAAAAAGUUGUCAACUACGGUGUAUAGGCUAUGUCAACAUUUGAGGUCAUUUGAAAAUUUUAAACAAUAAAUUUUAAAUUAUAAUAACUUAAAACAUAUAUUUAUGACUCUAAAAUAUAUUAAAUAGUUUAUCAACUAUAAAGUUGUAGAUCAUGUCGAGCUCUAAAAUUUAAUAUAAAGUUUUUAUUCAUACAACUUUAUAUGAAGAAGGUAUAUUUUUUAUAUAAAAUAAGAGAAAGAGACACCAAAUGGCAUGUGGGCGGGGCCUCGCUGCUGCGUUAGCAAAACCAUCCAACAAACCACUUCAGAAGAUACAAGUUACAACGCGAUGUGCUUUGAUAGCAACUGGGAAGUGCUGCAAUGUUCGCUACUGUAAUUGCACCGAUUUUUUUUUCUAGUUAUGCCCCACUGAGAAAAUCAAGUCAUUUCUCGACUUUGUUGCUAAAGGAACUAAGAAAUGCCUGGUGAUUACACAUCAUUGUGAACUCCAUUGUCGUUCUUAUCCUCCUCCACGAGUUUAGCUGUUCUGUUCCGCGCCUCUCAAAAUGGGUAAAAUGCGACGAUGCCAAGAUAUCGGAAUACAUGAUAAACAUAGUUCCAUUAUUUAUUAUUUUAUUUUAGUUCGCUGUCCAAGAAUGGCAAUACAUCAGUUCGCCACCGAGUGCAAGAGAUGGGAUCAAAACUGCAAAAGGCUACAUUCCUGUACAAGUUAUUAAUGGCAAGAAUUACAGUUUCAUUGGCCUCUACCAAUAGAAUACAAAUUGACCCAAAUGGGCGCAGUAGCCACCAGGGACUAGGCCAUUCCUAUACCUUUUUUUUUUUGUGGGGUUGGGGCUUCCUACAUGUCAGUAACAUGAUCACCUGCAGAAAUCCAAACAAAUAUGAUGCCAAUCAAGCCAUCCCUGGUACACGGUAAUGAGCACCAGUUCUGGCACAAGUGCAACGAUACACUUUAUUUUUCCCUUUAGGCUUGCUGUCGGCUGUCCAGAGAACGUUUCAUGAACACCAACUGAAGAGAGUUGAUCUGUACGAAAUCAAGUAUGUUAUUUUUUUAAAAUUAUUUUAUGAAAGGAUAUAUUGAUAAAAGUAUACAAGUUCAUGCAGAUGGAUGCACAAUUCAACCAUUAAACACUACUCUAUAAGUUGCACAAAAUAAAAUAAGUUACUGAAACUGAAACAAUUUCUUUUAUUAUCAUUUGGUAUUGACAUGCUUAACUUUUAAAAUGCGUCAACAAAUAUUUGUUUACACGAUUACAUGCAUUUGCACAGUAAGAGACUUAAGACAAAAUUGUUAGCAGCCUGCUCCGUAUGGAAGCUUUGAUAUACGAUAAUUAGGCAGAUGAGAAAUUUAUUUCAUAGUCUGUACAAUGAGCUUCAAGGCAGGUAUCAUAAAUCCUAUGUAAGACAAUCUCAGGAGCGCCAAUUAACCGAACAGACAAACAAGUAUGACAAUAUCAGGAGCGCCAAUUAGCCCAACAGACAAACAAGUGUAUCUUUUUUCUUCAUGAGAAGCAGCAAGCAAGGAAAAAACAUACCACAGAAGCGAUCUUGGUAAUGAUGAGAGUUCCUCAGGGUUUAGACCUUCACGGGCUGCACUGCCGCCACUAGCUGACAAUGUUUUGUUUUCACUGUCAGCCUCUGACACUGAGUCAACCUUGCUAGUACCGUUUACACAGUAGUUUUGCAGCCACCUAUCAGUCUCCCACAGGACGUGCAUAAUACUCUCCCUAGCAGAGUACCCAUGGCUCUCAAAAGGAAGUAUGACCAAACGAGAUAGCGCACCAUGACCUUUCAAGGCAUUGAAGAAUCGGUCUGACUGCAAAAAGAAAAAGGACAAACCAUGAGAUCAAUAACACAGAUUACUAAAAGUCACUAACCAGUAAAAAGAAUAAGCAUAAAAUCAAAUCAUGAGAAUAUAGAGAAUAUUUCCACAGAGCACAGAAAACAAUGACGAUUUGUAUAAAACAACCAGAAGCAACAAGUCAUUUUAGUCCACUAGGUAAAGGCACUUCAAAUCAAGCUAGUCUAAUAUCACAUUAGCAAAAUGAAAACUGGUAUCCUGGUACAACAAUUAAUGGUAGCAUAUGUGACUAUACGAGUCUAUCUCUAUCACUGCAGAAGUUUGGGUCACUUGCACUACUUGUGUAUGGAAUAUUACUCUUGUUGCUGUUUGCUAAGAUCAACUAUACACAAGUCAAAUUUGAAUAUGAUAAAAAAAUGCUUGGAAAACCUUCAAACAUCAUACAUGGUAGGAAGUAGCAACAAAGUUCUAACACUUUUCCAGAGAGAGUAAUAUAUUUCAUUGGCUAUGAGCAGGAUUGUAGCAUAAAGACUUGACCUGCAUUGUCAGUGUCCCAGAAUUGUUGUCCUGCUCUCCAUGGAUAAGUAAAAUUGGUUUCUUGAUUUUGUUUGCAGACAUGAAAGGGCUCAUCUCGACAUAUGUACUUGUUGCCUCCCAGAGUGUUCUAUCCUCGUUCUGUAGAAAAAUCAGAUUGUUACUAAAGACUCAAAAUCUAUUCCAUGCAUAUAAACACAGCAUUUGUCUGUACCUGAAAACCAAAUGGGGUUAGAGUCCUGUUGUAAGCUCCAGAGCGAGCAAUUCCGCAGGAGAAAAGAUGAGGAGCAUGAGCCAGCAGAUUAGCUGUCAUGAAUGCACCAUAUGAAUGACCACCAACAGCAAUUUUAUCAGGGUGAGCCACCUAAAGAAAUACAAGAACAGGGAUCAUGUCAACUCUCAGAAGGUAUUGCUCAAGAUAGAAGAAUGUUUUAAGUAUUUGCAAAAAUUGAAGGCUCCACCUAUGAAUGAAAUUUAUAAAGUGCACCAUAAGAAACACUCAUAAAAAUGUCUGUCAUUGCAAAAAAACUCAUUUUGUAAACAUAUUUGUGUGAAUGAAGAGGUAGCAAAGGCUUACCCCUCUUUUGACAACUUCCUCGACUGCAGCCUCUGCACUUGCUACUAGUUGUUCCACAUAUCUGCAAUAUAGUUUGUAAUUCUGAAAUAGUAAAUAUACUAUGGUGUAAUAGCAUAGUUCAAAAUUACUUAGUCCUGCAGAAGGAUAUGGAAUAGAUUAGUAGCAAAUAUACCUGUCAUUGGCCUCUUCAUCGCCUUCACCAAUAAUUGGGAUUGUUGGACCAGACAGAAUAGCAAACCUGCAAAUCAUAGCAUUCAGUGUGUGUGCAUGUACCAGAAAAACAUAUUUGCAAGAGAUGGAUUAAAAAAAAGUUCCUUCAAAAAUUUUUAUUAAAGGUUAAAGGUGUGCAGAGGGCUAUUGUACAAUUUGAAUCACAGAAAUAGGAACAUAUAUCGUAUGCAUAUUCUAUUAUUAAUGAAUAACAAGAAGAGAAAAAUACCCUCUAGCUAACCAAAGAAGAGGAGAUGUAGCACCAAUCCCUGGAAAUUCAUUAGGGGAACCACGAACUUGACCAGCAGCAUCUUUGCUUUUAAAUUCACCAGGGUAGGACCAAACUAGACAUGGCAAAGGGCCAUCUUUUGAUGGAUCAUACCCUGGGGGCAGGUAUAAGUUUGCUGUAAGUUGAACUCCAUCCUUCCGCUGGUAUCUUAUCAUUUCCUUAUACAAGGAAGCAAGCUGAGGAUAUGGGUGGGGGAAAUUUGUGAUCUUAACUUGAUUCUUUUCUGGCCAAGUCUGCAAGUAAUAUUGUGUGUUUUCCGUUUUUGAUUCUUUCGAUGUAAGUAUCUUUAACUGAUCAAGGGACAGUUCCCCAUCAGUUUUGUCUGACAUCAGUGCAACAACAGUUUCAUAGUACUUUUCCCUGUCGCUCUCCCAUAUCCGUUCUUUACUCCCAGUAUUUCUGCAAAAGAAAAGGGAGGAACAAGCAUUUGCAUCAAUUGACAAAUGACAUAUAUUCUAGUAAAAAUACAGAACAUUGAUAAGUGGGUCUAAACAUACAUAUCAAACAAAUCGAGGAAUGGAACAUUUCCUUCUGGUGUGGCACCCAUCCCAUUCAACAAGACAUAAGUAUUUCCGUCUUCUUUCUUGAUCUUUGCAAUGACAUAUGUUCCCAUUGCAGUUCUUCGAAACAUUGGUGAGCCAGGGUCAGAGUAUACAUCUUCUGAAGAUCGGUCAAAUAAAAUGCGUGGGCUGACAUCCUUUUUAUCAGGAGAAAGCACCCAAGUUCUGAUUUUCCGAGUUUUAAACCAAGAUUCAUACACUAAAGCAAGAGAUUCAUCACACCAGGAGGUGCCACUGUUCCAACAGAAUGAAAAUCCAGAAGACAAGAAGAUUAGAAGAGUUAGUUUUCAAUUCAGUGUAGCAAAUGGACAGUGUAAAAAACAUGCAAUCUUGUUUACAUCCAGGCACCAGAGACACGAGCAACUUGAAGUACUGGACCUUUUUAGUUAUUACUUUUAGAAUGAAAAUUUUAUUGUUAUUCUUAUUCAUUUAAGUUUUAUGCUAGAAAUAUUGUAGCAACUGCAGUGAAGAAAAGCUGAAUGAUCCAUCUAAAGUAGCUAAUGUAUAGUUUGAAGGACAUACGCAUAGCGAAGGUCAAGUUUAUGCAGAAUCUCUGGGUGUUCGCCAUUUAUAGGCUCAGCAUUUUCCAUGUAAACUAUGUCACGAGGGGAGACUUCUACUUUUGCAUCUCCACCAUCUUGUGUCUCCACCCUGAUCAGAAGAAGGAUAAAGUAAAAAUGAGCUAGAACAAAAGAGUAGCUCAUGGAAACACUCAUAUAGCAGCCUUUGAUAAGUGAAAGUUAUACUCAAUUCUCAAGUAAAUGUUCAUCAUAAAUAUCCUAGAGCAUCUAAAAUAUAUAGAUAGCCUAAUAACAUGGUUUAUGCAUAAGAGAUCUGACAAUUAACAAGACUUGAAUGAACUGUUAACCCGUAUCACACUUCAUCAAGGCAGUAUCAAGACUUUGAGCAUCUCUAAUAAAAUUAAAAUAGAAAAAUCAAAUGUCAAUGCAAUUCUAAAAUGAGUAUGCUUAGUUAUAUUGGGCCGACGAUUAGUAAUUUUAUAUUGAUUUUAAAAGAUGGCAUUUUUGGUAAAUAUGCUAGUAGCACUGAAAAACUACAAAACAAAAUAGCAAACUCCCACUAAUUCUGAAUGUAAGUCAUUUAGGAGUUAGGACACAUGGUCUACAAUACUAACCUUUGACUAGCAAAUUCUUUUUUCCCCUCGGACAUGCAAGAGAGGUGAGCACCCUUAUAUUAAAGAGAUAAAGGAAGAAGAGGGGGGGGGGGGGGGGAUCCUGUACAAGGCAACCUACUUAUCUCCACUGGGAGAUAAAAGAAGGUUGCAAUAAAACAUGCAUAGCCUUAUCACCUGAUACAAUGACAAGUAAUUUCUAUGGCAAUAGGGGUGAGUGUGCGCUCGUGUAUGUGAGCGUCUGCGUCUAUAUCUCAUAGGGAUACUUAUGUAUUAUGAAAUUACUUGACAUGAUUUCUCAAACACGCAGGAGAAAUGUGUAUCAGUUCGUUAACAAGAGAUGAGGGAAAAACAGAACAAGGGUGGAAAAGAAACUCUCCCACCAAAAAGGCACACCCAAACACACACUACACAAAAACACAUCCAAUCACACAAGAACAAAGGAAGAAACUGCACCGAAAAACACAAAAAGGCAACUACUGACCCAAGGACUAAUAAUCGUGUGGCCACAUUAAGUGCCCUGACCAAAAGUUCUUGAAGAUCUUUCAAAUGGGCUCAGCACCAGAAGACACACUCAUCAGCAACUGCCUCUAAGGUUGUCCUGACAUCUGGCCUUGCCCCAUUAAAAAAUCAUUUUGGUGUUUCCAUAUUUAUCAUGCCAUUAGAAUGAGUGAGUUUAGUCCUUUCCUGAUUUCCCUAGGCAAGUUCUUGAUUGCCUGAUGCCACCAAUCUGAGAAACAGUUGGUGAUGGUCAGAGGUGCAAGGAGGAUCAGCCUGAAGGACAUCACUCCAAACCUGCUGAGCACAACCCCAGUUUUCGAUCCUCUUCUAAGGUACGAAGAGGAUCCUUCCAGGGAAAAAAACCAAUAUAUGCAGAUUUACUGCCAUAUAUUCCAGAAUAUGUACGAUUCCAACAGUGCUGGUCCAUUACUCCCAGUUGCAGAGUUCGAUCAUCAACCAACUCCCAAAUAUAUAGAUACUCUCUUAGGGCAGGAACAGUCAGUGCUCCUUUUAUAUCAGACACCCAGAACCAUGGCUUGAGGUACUGUGUGUUGUCAUGAUGAAUCUGUAGAGAAACACCGCACACCCUAAUCAGGGGGGGGUGACCUUCAUUAUAUAGCCUAAUAGGCUAGGGUUACAGUGUACAAGGCCAAUGGGCCGUACGCCCAAUAUGGGCUGUUACAAUAUAUUCUAACACCCUCCCUCAGUCUAAGCGGGAGUGUCACGAACACAAAGACUGGACCUAAAGUCAGUGAACAACUGUACAGGUAACCCUUUGGUCAUAAUGUCCGCAAACUGAUGGGAUGAUGGAACAUGGAGCACCCGAACCUGUCCCAAAGCAACCUUCUCACGGACAAAGUGAAUAUCUAUCUCAAUAUGCUUCGUGCGACGAUGAUGAACUGGAUUGGCGGUCAUGUAGACAGCACUGACAUUGUCGCAGUAGACGAUCGUCGCCGAAGAGACGGGUGCGUGGAGCUCCUGGAGUAACUGACGAAGCCAACAGGUCUCAGCCACAGCGUGCGCAACAGCACGAUACUCAGCCUCCACACUCGAACGAGAAACCGUCGUUUGUCGUUUGGAGGACCAAGAGACCAAGUUGUCGCCGAGGAAGACACAAUAACCAGAUGUGGAGCGCCGAGAGUCAGGACAUCCAGCCCAAUCAGCAUCGGAGUAGGCAGUCAAGCUGGUGAUGCUGCCUGUGCCGAUGUGAAGCCCAGUGGAGAGGGUGCCCUUGACAUACCGCAGGACACGCUUGAGCAUCGCAAGAUGAGGCUCGCGCGGGUCGUGCAUGAAGAGGCACACCUGCUGAACUGCAUAAGCGAGAUCCGGACGAGUCAGCGUGAGAUACUGUAGCGCACCGGCGAGGCUGCGGUACUGAGUGGCAUCCGCCACCGGUGCGCCGGCUGUAGCAGAGAGCUUGGCAUGAGUGUCAACAGGAGUCGCGGUGGAAUGACACUCAGCCAUGCCGGCGCGCUGGAGCAGAUCCACAGCAUACUGGCGCUGUGACAGGAAGAGACCGUCAACAGAACGGGUGACAGAGAUCCCAAGGAAGUGAUGGAGAUCCCCGAGAUCUGUCAUGGCGAACUCGGAGUGAAGAAGCUCGGUGAUGCGGCGAAGGAGCGGAGUCGACGAGGCUGUCAGAAUGAUGUCGUCGACGUAGAGCAGCAAGUAGGCGAUGUCGGCACCCGCUUUGUAAACAAAGAGGGACGUGUCGGAGGUCGAAGCAGUGAAGCCGGACCGCUGAAUGAAGCCGGAGAACCGCUGGUGCCACGCCCUGGGCGCCUGCUUGAGUCCGUACAAGGACUUUUGCAGGAGACAGACGUGGUCGGGGGCCGCCGGGUCGACAAAGCCGGGCGGCUGCUGGCAGUAGACGGUUUCGUGCAGAUGGCCGUGAAGAAAAGCGUUCUUCACAUCCAGCUGAUGUAUCGGCCAGGAGCGAGAGGCGGCGAUGCUGAGGACGGUCCGGAUGGUGGCCGGUUUGACAACCGGGCUGAACGUCUCGUCGUAGUCGAUGCCGUACCGCUGCGAGCCACGAACAACCCAUCGGGCUUUAUGACGAGCCAGAGAGCCAUCAGCAUUGUAUUUGUGCUUGAAGACCCACUUGCCGGUGAUGAUGUUGGCACGAGGUGGUCGAGGAACAAGACGCCAGGUGCCAUUGUCCACAAGCGCCUUGUAUUCUUCGGUCAUCGCCGCACGCCAAUUGGCAUCGGCGAGCGCGGCACGAGUGUUGCCUGGCAGCGGAGAAGCCAGGCUGGACGAAGCGGUGAAGCCGUACCGCUGCAUAGGCGGCGGUAGGGAGCCUGUUCGGGAACGAGUCUCCCGCACAGGAGGCUCUGGAGCCUGGAGCGCCACGGCCAGCGGUGCUGGGGCUGGGGGCACCACCGGCUGCUGUAGGGCUGGCGGCGCCUCCGCCUGCGGCUGAGGGACCGGUGGCGGGCGCGGGCGACGAGUGUAGUGGAUGCCGAACCGCUGCCGAUCAGCUGCAGCGUCGGGGGCGCCUGCUGUCGGAGAAGCCGAGGGGGCAGGCGUGUCCUGCCGGGGCGCCUGAUACAGUCUGUAGGCAGCACCAUGCCACAAGAUGGCAGGGUCCAGCCCAACGGGGUCGCCGGCAUCGUCUGCGGCAGAUGAGGCAGGCGCAACCGAAGUCCGCGAAUGCCGGACGUCUGAGGUGGACGGGGCAGGCGCGGGAAGGAUAUCCUGUAUCAAAAAAUCAAGAGAAUCCGGUUGGGGCUUGGAAGCCGCAAACGGAAAGUGAGUCUCAUCAAAAACAACGUGGCGAGAGAUGAUGAUCUUGCGAGUAGAAAGAUCAAGACACCGGUAGCCCUUUUGUGAAGGAGGGUAACCGAGGAAGACACACGCUGCUGAGCAAGGAGACAAUUUAUGGGGAGUCGUGGCACUAAGGUUCGGAUAGCACAGGCAACCAAAAACGCGAAGGAUGGAGUAGUCUGGCAUUUUGCGGUAAAGGAGAUGAUAGGGAAUACCAUUAUGUAUGGAGGAUGACGGCCGCCGGUUGAUCAGAAACACAGCGGUGGAAAGGGCUUCAACCCAAUAGGACGAAGGCAUAGCGGCAUGAAACAGAAGCGUUCGAACAGCAUUGUUCAGGGUGCGAAGCAUCCGCUCGGCUUUGCCGUUCUGGGCGGAUGUGUAGGGGCACGAGGUGCGAAGCAUGAUGCCGCGGCUAGCUAGGAAGGUAGCGGUGGCAUUGUUGAGAAACUCGGUGCCAUUAUCUGCCUGAAAACAGCGCACAGGAAAACUGAACUGUGUGUGAGCGUAAGCAACAAACUGGACAAUAUGUUCAUGAACUUCUGAUUUAUGGCGAAGAGGAAACAUCCAGCAAUAAUGUGUAUAAUCAUCAACCAUGACAAGAUAAAAUUUAAAGCCAGAAAUACUCAAAACUGGAGAGGUCCAGACAUCACAGUGAACAAGUUCAAAGGGAGCUGAUGUACUAGAAACCGAACUAGCGAAUGGCAGCCUAGCGUGCUUGCCAAGUUGACAGGCAUGACAAGUGUGGCGAGCUGCUUUAUUACACUGGAUAGCUGAUAGCUUAUUGAGAGUUGUGACGAUGGCAGGUGCAGGAUGACCAAGGCGGGAGUGCCAUAACUCCGGGGAGACGACGGCGACAUGGCAGCGAGGUGGCAUGUGGUGUGGAAUGGUGUAGAGAUCCCCAUAGCUAUUGCACCGAAGGAGGACCGUCUUGGUCUGCAGAUCCUUAACAGAUAAAUCAGAGGCGUCAAACUCAAUGGAACAGUUAUUGUCGCGAGUAAGCUGUCGAACAGAUAACAGAUUACGAGUGAGUUGAGGUGCGACAAGAACAUUAUCAAGAUGAAAAGGACGAUCAGCUAUUUGAAUAACAGAGGUGCCACGACUAUGAAUAGGGACGGAUUGACCGUUAACGACCGUAAUGUACGAUGGUGGCAACAGGAGACGGGAGAGUAAAAUACCGUCAUUGGAGGACAUGUGAGAUGUCGCUCCGCUGUCCAUGACCCAAGGUGCAGUCCCGCCCUAGAUCGCCAUCUGGUUGAGGGCGGCAAUCAGUCCGGCCGAGUCCCAGCUGCCCGGGGGCCCGUACGCUGGGGGACCGCCGGCAUGGGAGAACUGCGGAGGCGCGAAGGCGGUGUGUGCCUGUGGAGGAGGCGCAGAUGGUGCACCCCACUGCUGCGCAGGUGGCGCGCCCCACUGCUGCUGCUGGGGAGGCCACGGAGCAGCCCAAGGGCUGUAGCACACCCAGGGGCCGGCCUGCUGACGCCCGCCGAAAUUGCCGCCUUGCUGGUGGUUGCGUCCACCGCCGCCGUUGCCACCUUGCUGCUGGUGGCGUCCACCGCCGCCACUGCUGCUGCCGCCGUUGCCACCACGGCUGCCCUUGCCCUUGCCACCCUUGCCCUUGCCACCGCCCCCACGAUUGGUGAACGCAGGAGGGGUGGACUGGCAGGACGGCGAUGUGCAGGCAGAGGUGGUGGAGGCAACCAGAGCUGAGGCCGAGGCCGCCUUGCCCUCAGUGCCAAGGCGGAUUUCCUUGACACGAAGCAUGUUGGUGGCGGCUUUGAAGUCGGGAAGUGGCGACGUGUUGGAGAUGAUGUCAGCAGUGUUGGCGAAGCGGGGGUUAAGGCCACGCAGAAGGUUAAGCACCAGCUGAGCAGGAGAGAUAGUGUGGCCGACCUCCCGGAGGGCAUCGGCGGUGCGCUUCAUCUGCUGGGCGUAGGCGUCGAUGGAGAGGUCGCCCUGGAGCAGGUUGUGGAACUCCUGCUCGAGGACGACGGCGCGGGACUCCUUGUUCGCCUGGAACAAGGCCUCGAUGGAGACCCACAGAGCGCGCGCAUCCUGUUCGGGUUCCAUAGCGAGGUCGAGGACGGCGUCGUCGACGGAGCCGUACAUCCAGCCGCGGAUGCAGGCGUCAGGCUGAGACCACAGGGUGUCAGCCGGGCGCGCGGCGCUGUGCCGUUGAUGUGGCCGAGCAGACCGUACUUGCCGCAGAGGGCGGUGAAGAAGGCCUUCCACUUGGAGUAGUUCGGGCGCUCGAGGCUGAGCGCGAUGGGGACGUGCUGCUUGACGUUGACGGAGGCGUAGGCGGCGAAGAGGGGGGCGGAAACAGAGUCCCCCAGAGCACCAGACGACUGGGCGCCGGUUAUGGAGGAGGAACUCGACGAGGACGACGUCAUGGGCGCAGCUGGCGUAGAGAAGAUUCGCGACGUAGUCCACAGAAGAGUCGCGGGAGGCCGCAGGACCGCGAGCCGCACGUGACGAAGAGGACGAACGGCGCGAGGGCGGACCUGGGCGCGCGUCCUGGAAAACGGCGGCGCGAAGGCGGUCGCGAUCGAGCCGCGAACCGCGCGUGACGGCCUGGGCGCGGAUCGCGAUUGAUCCGCGCGGUGACGGCCUGGACGCUGAUCCGCGCGGAAGGCAGCGUCGCGAGAUGGCCAGGGAGGCGGCGGCGCGCGUGGCCUGGGAGUGCGCGCGGCCUGGAAGGAAGGCGGCGGCGCGUAGGGCGCGGCCGAUGGUGCGGUGGCGCGCGGUCUCAGAGAGAUCGCACGGGCGGAGGAGGAGAAGCAAAGCGGAAGUUUAGGAUCGUAAUUAGAGAGGAUACCAUGUAGAGAAACACCGCACACCCUAAUCAGGGGGGGUGACCUUCAUUAUAUAGCCUAAUAGGCUAGGGUUACAGUGUACAAGGCCAAUGGGCCGUACGCCCAAUAUGGGCUGUUACAAUAUAUUCUAACAGAAUCUAGUAGCAUCAACCUUUUUUUCCUCAAACGGUGCAGGAGAGCUACGUGCCAUUUCAUUAAGAGAGAAAAAGUACAGGGGGGAGGGUAAACAGCCCCGCCCGGAAACACAGCACACUCACACCAGAUAGAAACAACAAAUAAACUCUCCAGGAACUAGAUGAAAACACGGCCAAGGGGGUAGCAGCCUACCAACCACAGCCUUAUAUAGGUCUGGGGAGGGCAACCUAAUGAGAAGCUCCUGAAGAUUAGAGGCACCCGCUAUGCACCAAAGACUACAUUCAUCAGCCACUGUUUUCAAGAGACCCUGAAUGUUUGGUGAGGCACUCUCAAAAACACAGGUAUCGACCUAAUGCUGUAAAUCUAUUUAGAUUUUUGGCUAUUGGUGGUCAAAGCCAAAUAUGUUGACUUAGGACAAACCUACGAACGAUCUAAAAAAUUUGGAAUUGGAGGGACUAAUAUUCUACAUAGGAUAUAGCAGUACAAUUGGAAUGCUGCAAAAAGAAAAACAUGCAUUUGCAUAAAGUCAUAUUUAUCAGAAUUCAGCUUUAAGUGAAACUGGUUAAUUAAAGCAAAAGAUAAUAUAUGGAAGCUUAUCAAAUAUAGUCAGAACCAAGCAAAAAGGGCAAAAGAAAAGUUAUGAUUACCAUGAAAGCAAACAUUUUUAUCUCAUGCUGAUAGGCAAACUACCAUCAUGUUUCACUUUCAACCCCUGAAGAGGAGUGCCCAAGUUUCAAUCAAGAGUGUCCCAUGGAGGGCUAUGAAAAUGCAACUAUACUACUGCAGAAUGCAGAUGCUACUGUUUGUGUUAUGUGGCUGCUAGGGUUGAGGGAGAUUGAUUGGGAUUGAGGGAGCGGCAGCUGAAGACAUGAACAGUACCUGCGCUACAGUAGCAACGGGUACUGUUCACAGGGAGGCGGCCGUGAGAGCGAGAGAGGAGGCUAGGGUUUGGGCGCUAGGAACGCCGGCCGCAGGGCUCUGCCCACGGCCGGCAAGAGAGAAGAGAUUUUUCCUUCUAAUCUCUUGCUUGAUUAGAUUGAUACAUCUCCUCUCUUUAUAUAGAGAGGUUUACUUGACUUACAAGCAAGACUUACUUGGCCCCUAAGCAAGUGACUAAUUAACCCUAAUGGGCUAAGGCCCAAUAGGUCAUUGACUCUUCUAACAGUUUGAAACUAUACUACUAUAGAACUUACUGUUUGAAAUUAUUUAUUUUUUUGCAUAGUGACACCUGACACACACUAGGUCAGGCUUCGUGGAACCAACAAAAGAACACAAACUGUUCAAUUAAACCAAUUUUCUUUAAGGUAGUCAAUCUCAAAAGUCAUAGAUGGUAGACAAACACAUAUUUUGCCUCGACAGGUUUUUUUUUUUUGCUACUAAUAUAGGCACUUACCCAUAUUUUGGACAUGGAAGAGAUCUUUUAUGGAAAAAAAAAUAUAGCAUUGGUAUUGAUGUUUUGUUUCUGGAUCGCUAAAUUUGGCGUUUUAAGUGUGAAUUAUGACAUUUGGAAGGUAAACCAUGAGGAUAAGUUUGAAUGGAUGGGCGCUAACAAAUUUUAGUUCAAAUCAUCGAAGUUGAGACCAUAACCAUAAAUAAACAAACAAGUAGGAUUGUCAUUCGACCCCUAUUACACUGUUCCUGUAGGGUUUUACACUUCUAGCAUUAAAAUUGAGAUUUUAACUACCAUGGUUGGCUUGAAGUCUUUCUAUUUCCACGCAGCUACUUAACUGAACUAUAUUACUCUAUUAUCACUUUGUAAGCUUAUGUUGAGGUACAGUAUGAUGUUACAGAAGGAAUUCAUCUCUAAAUAAACGAAAAAAAAUACCAAUGCAAAUUUUAGUAACAUACCAGUACAGUGUCGAAGGUUUGUCUGCCCUCCAAUUAAUCGAGCGCUUUCCCUUGCGUACACUGCUCAUCGUAAUUGGAAUGUCCUCAGCCAGGGGCAAAUCACAAAGUUCCCUAAUGAACUUUCCAUCUACAGUCCACAAUUCAACUUUCUUUGGAAACCUCCCACAAGGUACAAUGUAGGAAUAUGGGCGGUGGAUAGAAGAAAGCAUUAUGUAUUUAUCAUCCGGUGAUGGAUCAACAGAUGUAUAUAUAGCUGGAGGGCCAAUUGGCUUCACUGUUCCAUCCAAAGAAGCUAACACAAGCUGUGAGGUUGCAUAGUAAUCAAAUAGCUCAGCAUCAUACUCAUCUUUCAGCAGAUCUUGGAAAGUUCUCACUUGGACUACAUUCUUUGACUCAUUAGACUGAAUUUUUGGGCCAGAUGGAACUGAUGGCUUAUGUGGUGGAGCUCCACGUGUCGCAGGAAUAGUGCAGACUAACAGUGUACAAUCAUUAACCCAUACAAAGCUGCAACAAUAGCAGAAACAAUGUUAGUUACAAGCAAGAACUAGAAAAGAUACCGUGCAUAGAGAUUCAGCUUCACCUGUCAAAAAUAGCAUUUAGGUAUAUCUCAGGCGAUUUAAAAAGUGGCCUUGCCUCUCCAGAUUCCACAUCAGCAAUCCAUACUCUCAACUUUCCACUUUUGCUGUCCUCCUAUUGUAAAAACAUCAGAAUUCUUAUAAGUAAUUAUUAAAAAUACAUAAAAACUGUUUGCUGUCUGUCUUAAAGACAACCGAUCACCUCGUCAACUCGAACACUGAAGGAUAUAUGGCGGCCGUCUUGUGACCUAUUCACCCAGUUCAGGGCAAAUCGUGAUGCGAUCCACGAUAGAAACAGAAUAUUAUUUUUGAAAUGUGAAAAGCAAAGUAAAAAAUGAAAAAGAAAUAGCAAAAAAGAUACUUAAUUGAAACUAUAUAAAAUUACCAGGUAACAAAAUUAAUCCUUGCACCUACUGGGUAUCCAUGCACCUCUUUCUCUGGGCCCAAAGUCCCAUCGUCCAAUAGCUUAUGGAUACCUAUUCCAGUGUAGAAAGACCUACAAAUUAGAUGUAUCAGAUAUACAGUAGUGACAUGCUAAACCUGUCAUGAAUUAAAGGAAAUAAGGAAAAAAGCACCUAAAAUUUGGCCAAAGCUUUAAGUGUUACUUACAUUCGGCUCCUAGUAUUAGAAUUGCCAUCGAUCCUUAGACCAGCAAGCUUCUCCUCAGGCUUUGCAAGGUCUGACAGUGGUGGCAGUGCUCGACGCUUUAGGAACAGAAUUUUGUCUUUGUUUGGAGAGAAUGACAAGACAGGAAGUGGUGGUGCGUCAACAAUAUCCUGUAUUUCUUUUGGAGGAAGGCGGUAGCCCAUGUCCCCAGAUGAAAGACCUGCAUGGUAUGCAAAUACAACAGCUGUUCACUUCUAUAUUGUAGUUUGUUGUGGAAUUAAAUCCAGGACAUAACAUGCUCAACCAGCAACAAAAUAUAAUGUUGAAAUAGCAUUAAAAAAAACCAUGUAUGACUCGCAAGAGGAAAUAUAUAGAGCCAAUUGAGUAGACUAUUCUGUGCUCCUGUCCUGUUCGCCCUCAUUUCUUAGCGCUGAGCAAAUAGGCACACUGUCAGUGAAGCAUUGACUGAUCGUCACUGGGUCCAGGACAUCCAAAGAGAUCUCUUGGUGAUACCAUUGUCACAAUACCUUAAAAUAUGGAACGUAGAAGCUAAGGUGGAGAUACAACGGUGUACAGGACUAUUAGAAAUCCUAAUGGGAAUGUACAGCAGUUUGGUUCCCAGCCACCUCACGUAGAUGUUUGGUCGACGAUUGAACGUAGACGACCACAAAAAUGUGCAGUUCAGAUGGGUACUAAUCUCGCCACAGAUUGUGGCGGCUAUUUCCUGCGUCUCACCUCUGAUGUUGCCGCACCUGUGGUGUGGACAGUAGUGGCCGGUAACCAAGCAGCCCCAAAGUCAACCUACGUGUAUUUCUGCAUAGGAUACAUCCCCUUGAGCCGUGGAAAUUGAGAUGGAAAUCAUGGACUCCCAAGAAAUGGCAGUUCUUCCAUUGGUUAGUAUUCCAUAGCCGUUCUGUACAGCAGAUCGUUUAGCUCUACAGGAGUUGAGACAUGUGGAGGUAUGUGAUCAGGAAAGUGAGACGAUCCACCACAUCUUGGCCACUUGUAUCUUCUCAACGUCCCUUGCUGCUUAUACAUUUUGGCCUCCCAGAUUUGUCAUGAGAAUCCAGUGAUCCACCCACUAUAGAAUUUGACGAUUGGUGGCCCAAGACGAUUAACAUGGUGACAAGCUCUAUGGAGACUGGAUUGAAGUCUUUGAUCACUCUUGGUGCUUGGAUAAUUUGGAAACAUCGAAAUGAUUGUGUGUUAAUGGGAUCUUGUCAUCACGCCUGGUGGGUCAUGCAGCUCACUAGAGAUGAGGUCCAGCUUUGGGUCAUGAUCUGACCAUUGUUGGGGGAUUAUAAGUGUUUGUCGUUUUGGUUUUUGUUUGUGGCAUGCAUGGAAUUAGACAUGAGUGUAAGUUGACGAUGUCGGUGGCUGGCGUGUGUUGUACUUUAAGUACUCUUCUUUCUAACGCAAUGAUGUGCAGCUCGCCUGCGCAUUCAAGAAAAAAAAAUGUAGUGGACUAUUUGCUCUCAUGAUGAGCAACAUAGUACUACAAUUGUCUGUCACACUAGCCCAGACCCAAAAGUCUGGCUUCAUUCAACUCCCCACUGUGUUAAGGUAAUAUUGUCUCUACCAAUCAAAACCAUCAGCAUCAAAACUUAGUUAAGACAAUCCCAAGAUAAGUUUCACUAUUCUUAGUAGGUUAGGGGGUGUUUGAUUUGGGCUGCUAAACUUUAGUCCCUCCUAAAUGGUUUAGUCCCAUUUAGUAACUCCAGAGUUGCUAGAGAGGACUAAAGCCCAUUUAGUCAUAGUGUUUGGGUAAAAAGUGACUAAAUGGGACUAGAUUUAGGAGCUCCUAGCUGGACCAAGCACCCCUUACUCGGUUCACAAAACAACUACAGGAUAGAACCGUAAAAGAAGAUUUAAGGCCAGCUGAAUAUGAGUGUAGUCUAAUACUGUGGUUUAGAAACUUAAACAAAACCAGCCAUAUCUUUUCCUUGGCAACUAAGAUAUGAUCGCUCCGCAUAUAUAAACCAUAAAGCACAAGCUUAUGUUAGUUGCAAAAAGAUGAACAAAGCGUCUUGUGCGUGAUAUUCACCAGCGAGAUGCAUUAGCCUAUCCAAUCGACCAAUCACGGCGCAUAAAGUCAACUAAGCUCCAAUCUCGCCACCAUCGACCCACCAAUCCACUAAAACCCACAGAUAAGCCAAGUUGCGAUCAACAGCACAACGCAACGAUCGCUCCGAGCGAGGGUGACGUACCAUCGUCUUCCUGGGCCGCGGCGGAUGCGGCCGGCGGCGACUCACUCGACUCCCCGGCCGCGCCGCCCCCGCCGCCGGUGGCAGCAGCGAUGUGCGACAGCCUGGACGCGGCAGAGCUCAUGGCGCUCCGGCGGGGCGGGUGGAGAUGCCGCCGCGGCUGAGGAAGUGGAAGGCGUAGAGUGGUGGCGCGAGCACGCAGAGGUGAGAACGACAGCAGACCUAGGCGGAGGCAGGAUCUGUGCAGGAUGGAGAUGGAGGACAUGAUUUUUUUUUUCGGGGUCGCGCUUCCGUCUUUGUAUAUACAGAUAGCGUAGGGGAUUAGCUUUUAGACAUGCUGUUGCUGCUUUGUGUUCCGGCAGUGAAGAGAGGCAGAGAAAGAUAUUUCUGCUCUUUUCCGCAGCAAAAGAAAUAUGUUUAAAACAAACGACUUGCACAAAACUCAUCCCAAAAUUACCAUACGUAUCAAGUAAACCCCGCAUUGCAAGAAGAUCUAACGAAUUCUUUCCACUAAAACUAAAAGCCGUUUGGAUCCUUUUAUUUUGGAGAAAUUUAGAAUCUACUUAAUAGAUUAUGUUAUUUGCCGAGCAUCUCAAAAAAUCUCACUCUCUAAAUUAUCAUUUAGAGAGCUAUUUGCAUAAAAAUCACUUUUUAUAUUUUUUUUACUUUCCAACAGUUUUGCUAAAUCUCAUGCGCACUCUAGAGAGUCAUUCUCGUCUUUUAUAUUUGGUUAUUGAAAAACCCGGAAUAGACAAUGACUAUAUUUGGAUGACCAUUUAGAUAAGCUGUUGGAGGGUAAUUUUUCACCAAAAUUGUUAUUCCUAGCAUUUAGGAAGAAUAUACAAAAUCUUUUGGAGAUGCUCUUAGAAUUUGAUAUUCUAUAAGUUUUCUAAGUUCACAUAUAAGUCUAACUCAAAUUCAUAAGAUGAGAUAGAAAUUAAUAAUUCUAUAGACCAUCAUUCUAUAUUUCUACUUUAAACUUAUAGCAAAAACUUUUUUACUCGCUUCCCUAGUAAUGAAACAUAUAAGUAUCUCCCUUUUAUAGCUAACAAUAGUAUACAAAUAUCAACCAUAUUAACUUAAUUAGUUUAUGUCUGAAUUAUAAUUAUUAGAAUGAAUCAAAUUCCAAGGAUCUAAACAGUUUUUGAAUAUAAAUACUAGACUUUGCUGAGGCUGCUUUUGUGUACGUUAGUGGAGAUAGGCAGAAAGAUAUUUCUGCUAUUUUCUGCAGCAAACAAUCUAUUUAAAACAUAGGAUUCGUACAAAAUUCAUCCAAAAAGUAUCAUACGUGCCAUGCAUUUCAAUAUGGUGUCUUAUUAAGAACCACUACUCCAAUUAUCAUUUAACACAUGAUUUUUGUUUGCUUUGCUUUCUGCCUCGUAAGAUCCAGGUACCUUCUACUUUGGUACCUUUGGCACUUUUCUCGGUGGGAAGACUUUUCGUCCUGAGCCAUCAUCAUCUGUCGUCUGUGGAUGAACGGGCGAGCGAGAGGGCCGUCGUUUCCUCUCCAGUCUCCACCCCUCGUUUGUCUCCCUGUAGUUCGAUGCUUUCUGGUGUGGAUGUGGCGAGCACCGGCCGAAUGAUUGCUUGGUAAUCCACCUGGUUUAUUUUCGUCCUGCCAAAUCCCAAUGGCCAUUCAUGCUCGCAGCGACGUGAAGAUCUCAGAGCCACAGGUGGUACAAAGCUGUUCCCUGAGUUUUAAGGACACGGGUAGUACAUGCAGUCUUUCAGAUUUGGUAUAAAUUGCAUCUUAUGGGGCAAAAUUUGCAACAAAAUUUUGCGGCUUGAGUCUACACUUCUGUUGAGUCAAGAAUUUCAGUUAAAAUACCCUUCAGAACGGAGUCUUCAGUAACUGAAAAGCUUACAGAACACAAGGGUAUAUAUCAAGUUGCAUAUGAUAAAAUGUACGUAGCAUCAAGUUGCCAAAAAAGUACUGGCAGACAGCACGAAUCAAACAUUAGAGACAGUAUCCCCAACAUUUUUUAACAAGAUACUCCUCAUAGCUUUUUUUUUUUGAGGGUCAACGGGAGGGAGGCGAUCCCCACCUGAUAAAUUAUAAUAGGCCCGAAACGGCCGAAUGGGUAUAGUUUACAUAUGUAGAAAGUACAGAGCAGCAAUCUCAUGCUGCAAAUAGAUUCAAAGAGAGGAGAGUGGGAGAAUCUAGCCUAGCCUUGGCCUUGCCUAGCCAUCUGCACGAUGGUGCACCAGUGUGUUACGGAUUGCCUCUUUGCUCUUGGUAUUCUGAAUUGCCAAAGCUCGGCUGCCGCUUUGCAGUCCAAAAGUACGCGGUCGACAGAAUGGUCUUCGUUCCUGAAGACCUUCGCAUUUCUAGCCUUCCAAAUUUGCCAGCAGACCAGCGCAAUGAAAGUGGGAAGCUCAGGGAUUGCAGUCGAGGCGGUGUUCAUGAACUGUGCAGCUGACCCAUGUCCAUGGAGAUCAUGGACUGCAGGUUGAGUCUCGUCCAGACCUCCCUCCCAACCGAGCAUCCGUGAAUGAUGUGUUCUGGCGUCUCAUCCGUGGCGUUGCAGGUUAGACAGAUUGCAGAAUCCACUAUGUGCUUCUUGAGCAAGACUGCCCUGCACUGGAUUCUUUUUUGCAGCAGCAGCCACAUGAAUAGCUUAACCCGAGGCGGUGCCAAGGAUUUCCAGAUGAAGAUUGCCCUGGGGUCUGAAGGUUGGCCCCUAGCCUUGAUCAUUUUGUAUAAGGCACUAGUGUCAAGGCUAUUGUCUGGGUUUAUGAAGUCAGAGAUUCUUUUGUCAGGUGCUUGUGAGAGCGAUGUCCGGUCAAUGAGCUGCUGCACAAGAUGCAUCUCUUGGACUGCUAUCGCAGAGAGACGAGGUACAAGCGUGUGUUGAAUCCCUGAUAGUUUGGCCUCCCUUACUGUCUGCACUUUGAUAUUGCAAUGCGAGUAAAUUGCUGGGUACUUGUCCGCUAGGCACUCCUCACCAGCCCAAACAUCGUUCCAUAAAGAGCAACUGCCGCCAUCGCCGAUCUCCACCGUGGUGAUAGCAUGGUAGAGAGGUAGGAGGGUUCUCAAGGUUUGCCAAUGAUCCCCAUGAAGAUCGCCCUGCAGAGUGGUGAUGGUUGCACGUCCCUGGACCCAUUGAGCCCAAGCCGAUGACUGGGGGCAGUGAAGGCGGUGAAGUAGUUUCAGAAGUAGGCAGAUGUUCUGAACUCCAAGAUCUCUUAUGCCGAGCCCUCCAAGUUCCUUUGGGAAGCAGAUGUUGAACCAGGCGACGAGACAAGAUGCCGGAGUAGAAUGACCGGAUUUGUCGCCCGACCAGAGGAACGCCCUUUUCUUCUUGUCCAUUUGCUCAAUAGCUGAAGGAGGGAGUUGAAGUGAGCUCAUGAGGUAGACCAGAAUGGAGUCAAGUACCGAGUUCACCAAGACCGCUCGCCCCAUCGGGUUUAGCAGAUCAGCCUGCCAGGACCCUAAGAACUUGUCUGCUUUUUGAAUGUAUAUGUUGAAGGAUGAAACCGGUAGCUUGUUGGCAGACAGUGGCAAUCCCAGGUAAGGCUGAGGGAAGCUCCCCUUGGUACAUCCUAUGAUCUGCACACAGUCACUGAUCGUUUGUUCAUUAGCAUGAAUAGGUACUAGAGUACUCUUAUUGAAGUUUAUAUGAAGCCCACUGAAAGCUGCAAACUGAUCUAGGAUUUCUUUUAGCUUCACUGCCCCGGCCACAUUGGCCCCGAAGACAAUCAGCGUAUCGUCCGCAUACUGUAGAACUGCGCAGGGCAACGCUUCAUCAGUCGGAUGUUUGAUCUGGUCUGCGUCCCUGAUCAUUCGCUGCAAGGUUUCUGCCACCAGGAUGAAAAGAUAUGGAGACAAAGGAUCUCCCUGACGCAACCCUCUCUUGCAAGUGAUCCAAGGUCCGGGGUGGCCAUUAACUAGAACUGCAGACUUGGAGGAAACUAGUAGCCUCAGCAUCCACCCGAUCCACCUUUGGUCGAAGCCUCUAGCCUGUAGAACCCUUCGCAAACCCUCCCAAAUGACAGUGUCAAAAGCCUUUGCAAAGUCAAGCUUGAGUACAAUUGUCGGUAAUCUUCUUUUGUGACAGGUCUGGACCAGUUCCGCUGCAUACACAAAUGUAUCGGUGAUCGAUCUCCCUUUAACGAAGCCGGUUUGAUGAAUAUCAAUUAGUCUUGGAAUCUGCUUCUGCAAUCUUGUUGUCAGAGCUUUGGUCAAAAUUUUCAGAGCACUGUUUUGGAGACAGAUAGGCCUGAAGGCGUCCACAUCCACAGCAUUUGGCUUCUUUGGCAGCAGGACCAUAUGAGACCGGUUUAUGCGCUCAAGAUCCGCCUGGCCUUGGUGGAAAGCUUCUGCAAAAUCAACUAUCGUUCUCUUGACUGACGGCCAAGCCACACGGAAGAAAGCCGGGCCGAAACCAUCCGGGCCCGGCGCACUCAGGCUGUUCAUUGCGAGCACAGCCUUUUUGAGCUCGCCUUCGGAGAAGCGUCCUGAGAUGUCCUCGUCCGGCCUCGGCAACCCAGCAUAGAUGGCUUCAAGAUCCAUCAAAGUCAUUUGCCCAGGAACCCCGAUGAUCGACUUGAAGAAGGUUGAAAGGGCCUCAGUUUUCCCUGCAUGACUGACAACUUCUUGGUUGUUUACUCUGACCAUCCUGAUGAAUUUGCGUCGCAUUUGCAGAGUUGCAUGAGCAUGAUGGUAGGCAGUGUUGGCAUCACAUUCCUUGAUUAUCUUUUGCUUGCUUCGUUGACGCCAAUAGGCAGCUUUUGCUUUGAGUUCCUGUUGAAGGCGUUCUUGAGCGAGGCUGCGGACCUGGAAUUCCGCCUGCGAGAGUGCACGUGAUUCUUCGAAAUAAUCGAAAAGCCGCAUUAGGAAAUGACAGUUUUGUAUUAUUUGUGGUGGUGCCCUGUUACACCGUUUCCAAACCUUUGCCGCGGCGCGCGCGGCCUUGAUGCACGCGACCAGUUGUCCUGCAGCGUCGUUGCACGUCACAGCCUGUUGCCAACCCUGAAUGACAGAGUUGAGGAAGGAUUCAUUCCUGAGCAGGAAGUUGUCCAGUCUGAAGAAGUGUGUCUUCGGAAUAUCGGAGGAGAGAGAUAGGAGCAAAGGAGUGUGAUCAGAGGUUGGGCGUGGCAGGGAAGAAAGGUUAGCCGACGGGAAGACCAGAUCAAGAGGAGCAUUGGUGAAGACUCUAUCCAGCAUGGCUAGAAUCGGAAAGGAUUGUUUGUUGGUCCAAGUAAAUCGCCGGUCGGAGAGGUCAACCUCACGAACCAGAACUUCCUGGAUAGUUUGAUUGAAAGCAGCAGCUAGGCCGGCGUUAAAAACGCCAUUGCUCUUAUCGGCGGCACUUCGGACAAGGUUGAAGUCGCCGAUCAGUAACCAGGCUCCGGAAACCAAUUGCUUGAUGUCACGGAUCUCCUGUAGGAAAGGGGCCGUGGAAGAGUGAUCGGAAGGGCCAUACACAUUGGUGAUGGUGAUGUCAAAGUUAGAGGCGUUGCAGGAGAAGGAAGAGGUGAGACUGUAAGGGUUGGAAAGGUGAGAGUUGAGUGUGAACAGAGAAGGAUCCCAGGCAGUGAUGAGUCCACCUCUGGACCCAUCUGCUGGCCUCAGGACGGAAGAGGAUGAGAGAGGGCGGGGCAGAAAAGAUUGCGCUUUGAAAAAGUUGACCUCGGAGAGUUUGGAUUCUUGAAUACAAAUGAACGAAGGUUUAGCAUCAGAAAGCACAUUGCGCACCACAUUACACUUGUCCGAGUCGCCUAAACCUCUAACAUUCCAUGAAACAACGUGAAAGCGGCGAAAGCUAGAGCUCGAGUUCGUGUUCAUUUCGCAAGAUUACAACACCAGAAGGCAUCAACAAGCCAACAACUCAGAAGAAGAAGAAAGCUGGAAAAGGAAAGAAAGAUAGGUGCAUUUCCGUUCUCACACUCCCAGCGACCGUUGGGACAGAAAUGCAAGUCGCCGGGAGGGCCAGCAGACGCGCGCAGGAUCAUUCAGCCGCUUCAGUCACCAAGUCGGAGCCCUGGCCGACAUCGAUCCCGUGCGUAGAGCCCAGCUUCGCCGCAGCGACCAGGGCGCGCAGCUCAGCCACACCCAGAGGCAGCAGGUUGCGCGAGAGGAUGUUGCGCUUGGUGACUUGCUUCUUUAGGGACAACGAGCAGGCAGACAGCGAGUUCAGCAGCUCUUUGCGCUGAAUCGCCUGGGUUGCCGUGUCCACGAACUUGCCCGACGCCAUGGCUGCCUUAGCGGCCAGACGGGAGCUCGAACGACGAGCGGUGGAGUUCGCAGCCGAAGUCAUUCUGGCCACCCUGGCUUGGUCGCCAGAGCGUCGCGGUGCCGCCGCGGGCGGGACGCACAGCUUGGUGCGUAGGCGUCGGCGCUGGUAGGUGAUCAGCGGCUUUGUCCCAGCGCCGCGUGCAGGAGGAGGCACGUCGGGCGAACACCUUGUCGUGACAGACGUAGGGACUGGUGCAGCCGGGGUGGCAGACGGCGGGGUCGGGCCCGCGGAGGCAGAAGGUGCGUUGAUCGCACGCGCCAGGACGAGCGCUAAGGCCAGUACCUGCUUGGGCAGCAAGUAGCCGGUGGACGAACCGGACUGCGCCGAGACGCAGAGAGGGUUGAAAGAGCGUUGCAGGUUGCUAGCAUGCCUGUGGGAGUUUCCAGUCGGGAAGGCGAGGCUGUAGAAGUGCGGUUGCGGACGGACCUGAUGCAGCGGGGUCGGCGGCCCCAUAGGCCCCAAGGAUGGCCCCGGGGCAGGCGGCGCUGGCGGGCCAAAGAAGGAGGAGAGGUUGCCGCGACUAUCAAGCUGGAACUCGCGCGGCCACACCCUAAUGGGUGUAAUCCGAGCCACAGCACCAGAUCUUCCGACACCACUCUUGCAGGAGAUGCGCAGCUCCUUGGGGAUCUCUAGGCGGUCAUUGACCUCCAGGAGAAGCCGUAGAGGGCCAAAGUUGUCGCCAGUGAGGCACUGUGGGUCGAUUUCUGCCACUUCAGCGAACCCGCUAAAGCAGGCCUUGAUCUUCUCUUCAUACUAGUGCUCGUUGGGAAACCAGUCGACGGAGACGAACGCGAGCCAUACAGGCACGCGGAAGAAACGGUUCGCCGUCUCUUCCGGCUUCAGAAGGUGUAGCAGGGACCCCCCGAAGUGAACCGGCCCCAGCAGACUGAGGGAGUUGCGAGCUUCAGGGGAUUCGCAGCGCAGGAGCAUGGCGCCCAUCGAAGAUUGCAGUAGGUCCACGGGCUGGAGCGGGGCGAUGGAGCGUAGCGCGUUGCGGAUGAACGCGCUAACCUCAAGCACGGGGACCGGAGGCUCGAUGAAGGCAAAGAGCAGUCGAUCAGCGAGCUCAUCCCGACCCGGGGAGACCCAGGCAUCCGCAUGCCGGGGGCACCCCUCGUGCCAGGAUGAUCCCGAGGAGAAGGAGCCGGAGUCCAGAUCAAGCUCGCCGCUGGCAUACUCGUCCGCCGAGGAAUCUCCCACGCCCCCCAUGCCCACCUCCACGCCCACCUCCACGGCAGCAGAGGGCACGGGUGAAGGCGUGAUGCUUGGGUCUGUAGGGGAGGUCUGUCUUGCCGCUCCCAUGGGCUGAAGCCGUGGCGAGCACACGCCCGGCAGGAUGAACUUAUCGACGCAGGGGGGGUCAGGCGUCAGCAACGAUAGGGGACGCAGGGAUUGCGUGCUCAGAACUUCGACAGACGGCGGCGGGACCGUGGAGGAGGAGGCCACCAUGUUGAUCGGGAGAAAAGCCGCCGAGGCGGGGUGGUGGAAGUCCGACGGGGGCUCAUCCUCCAGCCGCAAGGAAGGUUGCCCCGCCGAGGCCGGGGUGGCGGUCGUGGCGUUGUCGACACCACUAGGCCUGGGCGGCGUUGGAGCGCGCAUGCGCUUGGCUGCGGCACGGAGGAGGACGCAGAGCUUCAUCUUGCACUGGUUGCUGCGGUGCCCCGAGGCGCGACAGCGACGGCAGCGAACAGGUUCGCGGCAGUUGUCCACCAAGUGGUCAGUGGCAAGGCAGCGGUAGCAGGCCCGCGAUGGGGCAAGGGGUUUUAGGGUUUUGAACACUUGGCGAGAAGGCGCCGGAGGAGAGCGCGCGGCCUCGACAUAACUCUUGGGCCGUCGCGCAUUGAAGUCGGGCAAAGGGGGCACGUCCAAGGCUGCACCAGCUGUGGCGACAAGACGUCGCGCCGCUGCCCCAACACCCGGCACGACGCUAAAAGGACUAGGCGGUACACUCAAAAGAUUUUCAGGGACAGACCCGAGGCGGAUUGCCUCGGGAGCCGGCGAGGGACAGGCCGUAAUGAUGCUGGUGGUUGGGCGGACGCCGGCAGCCAUAACUGAGGAGCCUUCGUUUUGAAUCUGGCGUACAGUCGCAGCUGCUAACGGGGAUAGACGGGAAACAGCACGCAGGGCAGAGUCCAGGGAGGGAUGGAAGAACAGCUGCACAUCCGCGAUGCGCAGAACGCCAACAAGAGCCAAAGCAACAGCGAACUUCUUGCUCGAAACGGUCACCACGAACACAGCGUCAUGAAUACGUUUGACAUUGAGGCGACUCGGACGCGGUGCAAGCAAGUGGCAAAGCGAAUUCGUGAUGAAAAACUCAUUGAAACGGGGAUCAAGGGACGGAGGAGUUACCCAGAGAGGCGCCGGCGCCGGCGACGGGCAGAGGAGGUUGGGGACGAUGCAGUCAUGGAGAUCGGAGAGGAGGCGAUUCUGGAGAUCAAACCGGGUUGGCGUAGGCGGGACGACGAAACACCGAGAGCGGACGAACUGGUCGGGGGCAUCUUGGCCAGGCGCGGACGACGACGGCUCCGGCAGGUCACGGAUCACAGGGUUGGGUUGUGGCUCUGGAAGAGGUGGUGGAGGGGGCGGGGGCGGGGGCGGUGGCGGCGGAGGCGGCGGCGGCGGUGGCGGCGGAGGCGGUGAGGGCGGAGGCGGUGAGGGCGGUGGAGGGGGAGGGUGAGGCGGCGGGUAGGGCGGGGGUGGAGGGGGUGGAGACCUCAUCCAAGCUCAGUUUCACUCCUCAUAACUUUCCGUAAGUGGUUCAGUAUUGCUGCUAUUUGUACUGCAUUCUGCACAACCUCAAGAGUUGGUCCAUAUGUUUCUAUAUACACAGUAGCCAAACCAAGAAUUACAAAGAAGAAUCAUACCAAAUCUACGUAACCAAACAAAAUGAAGCUAAACAUUCAGACAUGUAUAACAAAACAGGCUAACUGUUUCCGUGCUUGGCAAAGCUAGAGCAAAUUAGUGAGGAGUACACAUGCCUUUUGGGUACAUAUAUGGUGAAAUUUUAGUGAAAACCACGGUUUUCACUAUUUUUGGGGGGUGCAACACUCUAGCUUCGCCCCUGAGUAUGAGACAGAACACUUCAGUUAGCAGUUUCAGAACAAACCAAACCAUUUUGAUUCUUCCUGCUUUUCCUCUGAUGUUUCAUAGUAUGUUGACUCCUCUCGGUUUGUAUAAAUUUCUGUGUAUUCUGAACCAUAUUCUGAGGCAUAUGAAGAUGAUUCAUACUCAGGUUGGAUAGACAGAAACAUAUAUUUCAGGCCGCUUAUGAUAUCAUAAAUCAUCAAUCCAAUUCUUCCUCCACCCCAGCUCCCUAUUUGGCUUCCUGCAAGAUAUCCGAGCUUCCCAAACCGCUCCUCACCAUGGAAACCACCCACAUAAGUUCCAAACAAGGUGCCAGUGCCCCGGAGAAAACCUUCUGUCAUGCUUCCGCCAAAGUACAUUGCUUCGAAGAAGUCCCAACCACAAGAAAUUAUUGGCCCCAAUAUCCUAUUGGCUUGACGAGCAGCAACUUUUGUUGCUUUUGCACUAACCUUCUGAGCUUGUUUGGCUGCUUCACCAGGUGUUAGGCCUUGUGUCACAGCAUCGGCUAAAGCUUUCUCCAUGGCUCGCUGCCGCACCAUUUCCAAGUGUGCACUUCGGAUGUUGUUGACGUACAACUUGACACCCUCCUUUGCUGUGCAUGCAAGGCUGCCAGAGCCCAUGUCAAAGCAGUUCAUGAAUGUGAAUUGACCACUCUUUGAUGCAGCCUCCUUUCCAACAAGUUCCCUGAACUUCUCAGCUGUAAAGUAGAGCAAAUGGGGGUCAUUCCAAGGAUAUAAUAAGGUUUGCUUUAAUCUGAAACCAUGAAUAUCUAGAAUCAGUUAAUUGGGAGAUUGAAAAAGGAACCAGUAUCAAUGCAAUAAUGGCUUUCAAUAUUGAAUUAUCAAUCUGUCAUUCAACUGUGGCCAUGAAAACAUGGAACUGUGGCUACUAAGCAAGAGUUACCUUUAAAUAGGGUACCCCUUUAGACCUGCUCGGUCAGUAGUAUGACGAAAUUUGAAAUCGCAUAAAGCAAAUUGGUAAACUUGUGCAAUUAACCAUUCGUUAUAUCCAACAGAAUUUACUAUCUAGUGAAUUAUCAGUCAUUACUGACCCAGUUGAAACACAAUGCAUUGUCACUCACUCCUAGUUCUUCAGUGAAGUGUACCUAUGCUACCACCAAUACUAAAAGACUUCUGGUUGUGUUGUUUGGCAUAUGCAUACAAAAUGUCUGCUUGUGAAUCCAUUACUUAAGGCUACUCAGUAAACCGCACAAUGUUAAGUAAGAAGAUAUCAGGAAAACUUGUAAAAACUGAAAGGUCACUGGUUUUCUACAGAACUUAUAAGCUACCUAGUUAUUUCUGUUCACUAUGGAAACCCUAUUUGAACAGGUGGCAAUUGGCUCUAGUCCUGUAGGAUAUGGAACUCAGAAGCUCUAACUUCUCUGAAUCAAAAGCAGAGCUAGUGGGGUGUUUCAUACUUUUGCCUAUAGCUACAGCCUACAACUUUUGCACUUCCAUAGUUUUGUUGUUUUCUGAUUUUAUUUUAAUCCUUGUAAUAGAGUAUUAGACAUAUAAAAAUUAUAUCAUCUGUUGCUAUAAACUUAUAGAGAUGUUAUGUCUCAGAUUUGCUGUAGUCGUGAGGUCUCAAAUCCAUCUAUUAAAUUUUCCAUUUGGAGCAACUGAAGUCAGCAAUGAAAUGUUCCUCUGAACUUUUGUUGUGGCUGGAAAUAACUUCAUCUAAUCUCUAGAGAAGCCCAAAACCUGAGCAUGACUAUUUUCCCAAGUGGUUUUUAGCCUAUGACAAAAGAAUUUGAUGCACAGGAUGGAACAUCACUAUAGUAAAUCCUGUAACUUGCAUAUAUCAUCAUACUGAGGCAUUUUGAGUAAUUGCUUGUAUUGCUACUUGCCUACUUCCUAGAUGCUCAUUCGUGGAUGUGGUGACUAAUUGCUUCUGUUGCUAGGCUGAUAUCUUGUGUUUGCCAUCCUAUUAGCACACACUACCCAAUGCAAACAAAUAUUCAAACCCACACCCAACUGCUAGCAUUUGUAGUUAGCUUCCGAAUUGAUGUAUUUCUGUUGAAUUGCAGCAAAAUGCAUUCUGAGCGAACAUGAUCAGAUCAUUCUGACCAAUUUAUGGCUUUCUGAAUAACUCUACACAGAAUUUCUUUGCAAGAUCCCAACCCCACAAUCACAACCUCACAAGAAUGGCAGCGAAAAACUUAGCAAAAGGGAAUUUAAAUUCCACCAUCCACAUCAAUCUAAACCAGACAAAUUCUGGCAGAAGAAAUUAUCCCUAGGAACCAAUUACCGACUGACUAGCCUAAAUGCAUCACUUCCCACAACAAAAAUCAAGCAAAUUCGCGUUUCUGCAUAAAAGAACAACCACUCCCCCAGCAAUUGGAGUAUUAGACGAAGAUCGAAGAAAACAGUGCCCACCAGAUCUCCAUCAGAAACUAACGCGUGAAAUUGCACAGGAAGGAAAAGAUUCUGAUUCGCGACCGGAAAACUAACCGGUCAUGCUGAGCGCAACGACGCCCGUGAUGAGGAGCAGCAGCCGCACGCGCCGCUUCUGUAUGUCCAACAUCUUCGCCCGCCACCGUCGGAAUCGAGCGCCGCGAGGAUCUAACCCUGCCUACGGACCAACCUCCCGCUCCCUCGCGUCCACCGAGGAACAGGGAAGGGAGACCGGAAGCGAGGGAGGAAGAAAAGAGGAAUGGUCGCAGCGUUCUCUUCGCGACCGCCGCGUGUUAGAGCGUGGGCGUGACCCCUGAUCCGCGUUGCCUUCCUAAGCACGGCGUUCUUGUAAUGCUAGCUGACAGGUGGGGACAUGAUUGCAGUGAGCCCAAUGAUCAGUGGGAUUAUUGCGGCGUGUGUUUCAGCUGCAAAUCCACCGAUUCACUCGAUCAUAAUGUUUGUUCAGAUGAAAAUUAAUGCUGUUGAUUGAAAAGCCUUAGAGGACUGGAACGUAAAGUGAGGAUAUCUAGAAGGGCUCGGCAGCAAUUUUGCCUGUGGUCAUCGCCUCAUUGGUCAAACCUUGAGAGCCCCGGUUCAGAAAUCGCAGUCCCGCACGGCGGCGAUGGACGGCGGCGGGGUCGACACGGGCACGACGGCGGCGUGGAUGGAGAAGCACCGGCAGAUGUACGAGCGGGCCACCCGGCACCCGUUCACCGUCUCCAUCCGCGACGGUACCGUCGACAUGUCUGCCUUCAAGCGCUGGCUGGUCAGUCUCGGUCCCUCUAUUCCCCCAUCAACUGAUGCAGUGAAGUUCUCGUUGUGUAACGCCUUUGACCGCGAGAAAAUUGACGUUUCCGUGCCUGAUUCUUGGUUCGGGGCAUCGAGCUCUGUACAUCAAGUUAAAUACAACCAGGAAGUGUUGGAGUUGCUACUAAGAUAACGAAAAUUUGUGUGGACGGCUAUAGAAUAGUACUGUGUGUGAGUGAAGAUCUUGUGUUUCCAAUGGACAAGUCACUCUGAAUGUCGUCAUUCUGCUGUUUCUUCCGGUUGACAAAAAUAACGCCAGAAUAGAAUUGACACUGUCCAAUUGUGAUAGUGUAAAGUGAUGAAGGAUCAUGUUCAGGGAAGCAAAAUAGAACUCAACUCCUAGUUGGGCAUAAUAUUCUGCAAGAGAAUAAAUGAAACUAAUAAAAAAAGUUACUUUAUAUGAUCUUGGUUUUUUCUUCUAGUUGGAAGCAGUUUGGUGGUUGAUAAUUAUAAGUUAAAUUACGAUAUCUCAUAGUGCAGCAGUAGGUGAGCUUACAGUUGUCUAGAUAGUGAUCAAUUUGUGUUGGUUAAUUUUCUUUCUGUGAUUUUCUUAAAGAAAUUUCAUUUUGGUUAUGAGUAUUAUGAGUGGAGAAAAGUAUAAAUAGACUCGUUUCUUUGUCAUAUUCAGAGCCAGGACUAUCUGUUUGUAAGGGAAUUUGUUGCAUUUAUAGCAAGUGUGUUGCUUAAAUGCUGCAAGCAAGAAGACAGCUCGGACAUGGAAAUUAUCCUGGGUGGAGUAGCUUCUAUCAGCGAUGAGAUCUCUUGGUUCAAGAAUGAAGCUACCAGAUGGGGUGUCAAUCUAGCAAGUGUUUCUCCCUUAAAAGCCAAUUUAGAGUACCACAGGUUCAUCUCGUUCAAACAUUUGUAAAAUUCCCUCACAAUAGCAUGACUCGAGAUCUAUAACCGGCAUUAACCUUGUUGCCAGGUUUCUCCAGAGCUUUACUGAGCCAGAGGUUAGCUAUGUUGUUGCUGUAACAACCUUCUGGAUAAUUGAAACCGUGUACCAGGACAGCUUCGGUUUCUGUAUACAAGAUGGUAAUAGGACGCCACCGGAGCUCUUAGGCACCUGCCAGAGAUGGGGCAGCGCUGGGUUCAGACAGUACUGCCAGUCUCUGCAGAGCAUCGUGGAUCGCUGCUUGGCUAAUGCGCCAGCUGAUGCUGUCAAGAGUGCUGAAGAGGCCUUCAUCCGGGUACUCGAGCUGGAAAUUGGUUUCUGGGAAAUGAGCUCUUCUCAGUCCUAAUUAGCAGCCUAUUCUCUAAGUCCAAACAUCUAUACAAAUAAUCGAACGAAAAAAAUGGUGCUUCGGGCUCAGACCCAGGAAUGAGUUAUAACCCCCCCCCCCCCCCCUCCUCAUUUUCUCUGUCUUUGGUUUCACCUUAGUCCUGUAUCUUUGGUUCAUACACAAAGAACUGAUAUGAUGCUGCCAUGACCAUGUGAAACCAAAUCAGAAUUGCUAUAUCAUGCUCAGGUGAAAAAGUCCCUCUUACACUCAAUUUUUGUGAGCUUUAUAAGCAACUUUCCUUUGUUUUACAGAAAUUCUACACCUAGAUCAAAUGUGCUGUAAGAAUUGGGUAGAAUAUUCCUUCCCUACACUCAAAAUUUUAGUUACACCAAUUCUUUACUUUGAAAAUUAUACCAAAGUAGUCAUCACCUUAUUAGUUCUAGCAAAAGUAAAGUCGAGUGUGAAUUGGGGUGUGGGAGAGAAGAUUUUCACCUGAACUGAAUUCCCUUUCAUGCAUAAUUGCAAGUAGUCACCUUAUUAGUUCUAGCAAAAGUAAAGUCGAGUGUGAAUUGGAGUGUCAAUUGGGCGGGAUAUAAGUAAACAAUCCCGUCCCAAAUACUUUGUCUCGGUCUCAAAUUUCUUAGUGCUACUUCUGACAUGCAGUAUCAUUGAGACAUGUAUUGGACUAGCACAUAGUGUAAUCAAGUACCAGAAGCACACCAGCAAAUAUAUUUCUAAGGAUUACAUCCUACUUGGAAUUACAUUAGGAGUUCCUAAAUGUUUCUUAUAAAUAACAAACCUCGCUUUAUUCCACACCAAGCCAAAGACUAAAAAAACGAAGAAACCAAACUCAAGCACCAAAGGUGACGAAGGGGCAGAACCAUCAUCCAUUGCAUGCCUGCAAAUUGCCAUCAUGCCAAGCUAGCUAGAUCAAGCGACAGCGAUGGCGGAAGCCGGAGGCCAGCCUCGCGCGUUUCAGUCCUCGUACGUGCGGCACUCGUCGGUCUCGGGGUUGUCCUUGCAGUACUCCUCGAGCGGGUCGACGCCCUUCUGCCGGUCGCGCGCGUGGCUGGCGGCCGCGCUGAGCUCCUCCACCUCGUCCCACGCCGCCACGCACUCGGCGCUCACCGGGUCAUCCGCGCACGUCUCCUUGGCCUGCUUGAUGCUCUCGGACACCUUGUUGGCAAGAUCCGGCGGCGUGGCCGGCGAGCUGGCCGCCACGGCCACCAACCGGCGGUGCGCCCGCGCCGGCCCGACGAAGAACGACACGACGUUCUGGCGGGACGGCAGCUGGGCCGGGCGCUGAAGGAGGCUUCUUGGAGCCGAGAAAACGGCUAGGGCGGCCACGGCGGAGACCGAGGUGGCCAUGGCUUGACGAGUGGGAGAAGCGAUGGAGAGAAGAGAAAAAUGUUUUGGUUGCGUUGGGCUGGUGAUCCGUUUUAUGAGGUUUCCCCUCUUAUCCUUUUCCUGCCAAUCGUGUGGUGACAGAUCAGCCACGGCAGAUUUUCAUUCUAGAAAGCUCGUUCCCUUUACUAAACUUUUUGUUAUUUCCAUGGCUAAUUGAGCUGCGCUAUUCAACUCAAAGCAUUAAUUGUGUUGUUAACAAGUCAAUUUAAGUAAUAGUGUCCUAGCUAUUCUAAGUUUCUAACCUCUGUUAUUGUUUGGUGGGCAACUUUUACACUAGUAAUAAGUAUUUGUUCCGUUCAAAAAUGACAAAUGCAUUUGACCAUUGGGAAAAUCAAUAAAAUAAAUUCUAACCAUUAAUUUCUCUUAUCAUAUACAGUUAAUUGUUAAAAAACAAUGUCAUUUUAGCGGCACUUCAAACACAAAAAAUAUUGAUGUAAGUUUUAUUAUGUCCUAAACUUGCAUAUAAUUUGAUUAACUGUUGAUUAAAAUUUGUCUAAUUUAACUUUUCUGAUGGAGAGAGUAGAAUGAUUGUAAGCAACACUCAUGGCAGCUAGAUUUUGAGUCUAAAGCAACGUUUUGUGAUUUGAUACUUUGAAAUAAGUUAGAGCUAGAUUUGCCAUAUUUGUUUUGAUCCUGUGUUUGGAUGGAACCAAUUAUAUUUUGGACAUUUUAACAAUGGGAAAUAAAAUAAGAUCUUUAAAAAUAAUCUAGGACAAAGGACUGAAGGCCAUGUUUUUUGACCGAAACUGAAGGUCAUGUUGCCAUGGAUCUUUAUGUGCAGAUCCGUCUCUAGCCUCUUGUCAUUGUUCACCACUACUAUUACAUACAGUACUAUUCUAGAAAUGAUUUUUUGAGGUUUUAUGAUUUUUCCCCAAAGAGGUUGUCAUUUCGGGCGAGAGAUUUUUCAGAGAAGUACCAUCGCUAAAAUAUCAUUUUUAGGACUAUUGGUAUUCCCUUCAGGAAUAGUCUAAAUUACCUUAAUUAAACAUGAUUAUCAUCCUCUAAACAACCUAGUUUAAAGCAGAAUAAUCCCGAUAUAGUCUCCUAUAUGCGUCUCAUGCAGCCAAGGAACAACGCACACAUUGCUUUCACAAUUAAGUAAUCAUCACAUAGAUACAUAGAGAGCAAUUUUUUUUUUCAUGUUUACAAGUCAACAUAGAACGAAAGAUGUCCAUGAAUGAUACAACAGAUGAAACUAUCCUUGACUAGCUCAGGCGAGUUAAGUCAUUUGAGACCCUCGCUCGCCAUGACUCUAAAAUGAAAGUAUAUGGAAAUAAUGAAAGUAUGAUCAUAAACUCCAACCAUCAAAAUGUAUAUGAAAGUGCGAUCAUAUCAUCACCUAGUAAUAGGGUUUAAUUCUAAUCAAUGAAGUUUUGGUGAACUGUUAACUGCAGUUUCUUUCCUUAUCGUUUUUGGUUGAAUGAAAGUUUGGAACAACUAGGAGUACUUGCACCGCAUAUUUCUGCGGGACUGCAGAGUAUAGAGUACGUGUACGGCUUCCUUUCAGUUUCAGUCCACCCUGAUUGGCGGUUAGCGCAGUAGUUUUCUUUAAGUGAACAUCAUUUUCAUCGUACGUGGUCCAUGGGCAACUGACCAGUUGUACGAUAGCUCCGUGGCGUGCCAGGGGAAAGAACCAACGAAACCGACAAACCGUGGCCAAACAAAGUCACCAGCAAACGUGUCUCUUUUCUCCAACUGGAACUCGGCCAGAGUAAGUCGACGUCGAUUUGAAAUGCCUCCUUUCGAGAGGAUGAUCGCCGUCAUGUACGUAGACGCUAAAAGCCACCGUAAAUCAUCGUCAUCGACGGAAUCUGGUGACUAGUAUAGCAGCUGGCUGCUGACGGGUGGCCGGUCAGUUUCCGUGAGCUCGGUCUAGCUUUCAUGCAUGGCCGCGAUGGAGCGACGACGGUCGAUCGACGGCAUGCAAGCGAAGUACGGCUGCCAUCAGUGCUCCCUGACGAACGAAGAAAAAAAAAAUAAUGUGGGUCCGCCUCGACGUCUAGUCAUAUGUCGAGCUCGAGAGUGUCUCGUAGUUAAUUAAUCGUCCAGUUUUUAACGCCUCGUCACCGCCGUAGGGUGAAAGUAAGGUUUGUCCGGGCACAGCUCAACUUCAUUAGUAAAGCUGUUUUUUUAGAAAAUAGCUUCAUGAGUGACUUUCUAGAUGAAGCUGAGCUGUUUUGGAAAAAGUGUUUGGCAAAAUAGCUUCACCAACUACUUCAUGCAUAGUUGAGAGAGAAAAAUGAGAGAGAAGCUGCAAUAAGCUAUUUUUUUCCAGCUUCAUCCAACUUAUAUCUUUAUGAGAGGAGGAAAAAAAACAGCUUCACCCAUGAAACUGUUUUGGAAAUAAGUGUUUGACAAAAAAAACAGCUCACAUAGCAAACAGCCGCUAAAAGGAAUUAUCGGUUGCAUCACCGUGUGUGCCGGGGUGUGGCAGCGACGCAGCGUUUUAUGAAUUUUGCAAAAAAAAAAAAGACGACUGUGCAACGUCGGUCUCGGUCAAGCUACGUUCAGGCUGAAUGAAACCGGACAAAAAUAAAAACUAAUUACACAGUUUGGUCGAAAUUGACGAGACGAAUCUUUUAAACCUAGUUAGUCUAUGAUUGGACAAUAUUUGUCAAAUACAAACGAAAAAGCUACAGUGUCGAUUUUGCAAAAUAUUUUGGAACUAAACAAGACCAACAAAGGUCGCAGUGGAGUGGAUGCGGUACAAAUAUCGUUCCUGCGGGUACAAUUGCAAACCAGGAUUAUUUUCUCGAGAAACUAGAAAACUACGCAUCCUUUGCAUAUAUAUAUAUAUAUAUAUAUAUAUAUAUAUAUAUAUAUAUAUAUAUAUAUAUUUAUACUAUAUAGGAAGGAUCCAAAUUUGCAAAAAGUUGAAUUAGUCGCGCAGACUUGAGUGACAACCAGCAUAAAAAAAAACCACAACUCAACAACCUGCACCAGGGAAGUGCGAGCACUAAACGGACUAGUCAGGCCCGAAACAACCGGUAUGAGCUGUGCUGUCCGUGGGCUCUUUUCAUAGACCACAAAUGCCAAGCCACAGAUGUUCUGCUAGCUUUUACUACUGAUCACGGUUAAUCUCAAAAUUGUGGGUAAGAAUCCGUGGAUAAUAACAUAGAUACAUGUCCACCCCACAGAUAUAGGAGCUCCCGUCCUCAAAAAAUUAGACCUUCUUUGAUUCACCCCUUUAAACUUUAGACCUCUAAACUUUAAAGCUAAAGCUUGUGGUCUAAAAAUAACUCUAAACUUUAUCCCACCUUAUAUUAGAGCUAUAGGCGGAGCUAGUUAGGUGGACAGGUGGUCUUUGAACCACACUUAGUUCAAUGUUAAACUAUAGUAGAUGAGUUCUCUAAAAUUAUAAAAAAUACAUAUAGAUCACUCUAUAGUUUGGUUCUAUAUCUAAAAUGGACCACUUUUGCUCUAGAUCUUAGCUACGUCACUUAUUAGAGCUUUAGACCUCAAAAGUGCUCUAAAGUUUUUAGAGCUCUAAACUUUAGAGGUAGGGAUCCAAACACACCCUUAACUUCUUGAGUAAUUGUAUAAGUCAAAUUUUAAAAAUGAUUAAAUUUAUAAAAUAUUUAUGACUUCAAAUUAAUAUCUAUAUAUCAUAGAAUAUUAUUUUCUACUCUUUUCAAGUUAAUCACACUUAGAGCAACUCCAAGAGCUUGGCUAUUCUUGUUGUGGAGGCUUUUUUUGAAUUUACAUAGCAAAAGGUAGGCUCCAACAAAGAUGUGUUAUCUGAUUUUGUAGAAUAGAAAGUUGACUAUCCCUUAAUUUUUUAUGGCUAUAUAUAGCCAACUAUACUGAGACUUGCUAUCUGAUUUUGUAAAAUAGCAAAGUGAUUGUGGACUUCUUCUUUUUUAAUAAGCCUUUUAUUUUAUAAAAUCGCUAAACAAUAGAAUUUGACUACUUUUUAGCAAGCUCUUGAAGUUGCUCUUAAGAUAGUUUUACUCGAUGGUUCUAAAAGUUGGUUUAUUUAUUCCAAGACAAAGCUAAUACAGUAUAUACUUCACUCUCGAGCUUUCUGCAUGCACAUUCUUUACCGGCGACAUUAACACAUCACACUUAAGUAGGUUCUAUGUUGUUCACAUGACAAGCAUACAUGAUACCUGAUACAGCAGUACAACACAGGGUACAUACGGCAAACAAAGCAUAACAGCACACUGCACACCAACGACAUAUAUAACAGACUUCACAAGAUAACAAUAUCUAGUUGAUGGACUCAGAGCCUCAGACCUCAGAACUCGAGCAUACCAACGGCGUCCAUGACGUCGGGCUGGAGCAGCAUCAGCUGGAUCUCGAGCGGCAACUGCAGUUGCAGUGGCGGUGGCGGCGGCGACGGCGAGAGCGGCGUGACUGACGGCGAGAGCGGGGUGACUGGCAUCUGCACGCCGCCGUAGAGCUGCACGAGGUGGUCGGGCACGCCCGGCACGUCGAGGGGUACGCCGGCCACGUCGCCGAGCAGGCGGAGCUGGGAGUUCCGCAGUAGGAGCGCGGCGCACAGCUGGCGCGCGUGCGCGGCGAGCACCCGGUUCUCCUGCUCCAGCGCGCGGCUCUGCGUCAGGACGUCGCCGACGCUGGCGCGCAUCGCCUCGUUCUCGCGCCGCAGGCGCUCGUUCUCCGCGGUCAGGUCGUCGACGUGCUGCUGCCGCUUCAUGCGGGACUUGCGCGCCGACAGCCGGUUAGAGGUCAUGCGGUUGCGCCGCCGCUCCUCAUCCGUGGUCACCGCGGCGCCGCGCGCUCCCUGGCCGCCCGCCGGUGGAACCAUCCUAGCUACUACUUUCAGAAGGGAAGCACGUACUUAACUGCUUCAAACACUGCCAAAAAGCGCGCACUGCUCCUAGUCGAAUGAUCGAUCUGAGUGUAGGAGUACGCGCGCGCUAGGAGAGGCACGGAACUUAGCAGCAAAGCAAGAGAGGCCCGGGAGAUGAACGUGAACGGGUCAUCAUGGAAGAACGAAGAGGAACAAGCAUGGAGGAGUAAUCAAUAGUAGUAAUUUUUUGUUUGGAACGAACAAAGCUUCGGCUCUGAAUCAAACCAAAGCUUAGCUUUGUUCGAUCGGAACUUGGCGAGAGGCGGCCGAUUCAGGAGAUGACGUAGAAGAAGUAGAGAAGCACGAUGGAGAGGGAGUGGAGGUAGCAGAAGUGGAGGCUGACCUCCGUGAGCGACAUGGCACGGAGAUUGGCGGAUGAACACGAAACAAGCAGGAAGGAACUUAGCUAGCUAGCUAGCUGAAGUGAGGCAUCCGGAGGAGAGGAGGAGGAGGAGGAGGAGGAGGCAUGGGGCUGCACUUCCCAAACAACCAAAGAGCUGUGUGCUCUGCAGUGCCUCUACUCAACUAGGGACGAGAGGAAGAAGAUUUGUGAAGGCAGAAGGGGUGGCCUGAGGGUGGCGGAGGGCGAAGAUUUAAGGACCGGAGGGAGGGAACUGACGACGUAUUAUAUGCACUAACUAAUACAGUAAUAUUAGUCAGCUCGUGCAAUUGCGUGUGCACCAACUAGCCUGAUUAAACAAGGGACCUGAUCUUUUGUUCGUAUUGCGUAUUGCCAACGAUCGUAAGCAUCUCCAUUGGGGUCAGGUGAAAUGUUUUAGGUUUGUAUAUUGUUUUAACCGUACAGCUGGACAGCUGGUCUGCUACGGGGGAAGUGAAAUUUCCAAAGAUGCCAAAGAACUAUGCCUGAAACUUCCCAAGCACACCAAUACAAAAACUGGCGGGUUUCUAUUCUAUCAAUAUUGUCACUCAUGACGCAAGCAUAUUUGAGAUAUUUAACUUGGGAUCAAAAGAUCUGAUGAAGUUUUCCAACCCUAGGUAAUACUAUACACAACUUAACCAUCGGAGGGAAAUUAAACAACUCCAUGCAAUGGCAGCAGAUAGAAGCAUCAAUGCAAGCAUCACGGGGGACAUUGAUUCUUUACAGUUGCUGAGGUGUUCUUUAAUUUUGCUCCUUUUGUCUUGACUUGUAGACGGCUUGCUGCGUCACAACAAAUGCACGUUGCAGUCCUUCAAAGCGCCCGAGUGGCCAACGGUAAUUGAAUGAAGAACAAGGAAACACACGAGGCUUCCAUCGAUGAUGACUUGGCGCCUAGUCCGCCGACCAGAAGCACAGAUUGGCCGCUUUACCUUCUGGCUUCUGCGAAGCAGCAUAGAGCAAACAUCAGACAAACAAGAACAAAUUACACUAAUUAACAAGCGGCUGAUACUGUGGUACCUGAACCAUGAAUUGUGAAAUUUUGACUAAGUUUCAGGUCGACGUACAUGCCCGGGGAUCGGGGACAAGUGGCCACUGCAUUUUUCUCGGCAAAUUAAUGAUCUACCCAACCCACAGUACAAAUAUUCUACUGUGAUUAGAUUCAGAUGCCCUGGUUGCUUCUCUUGGAGCAUGGCGUCACGUCUGAUGAGAUAACAUUAAAAACUGACCACGACGCGUAUAGCCAAUAAUUUUAGGCCUCGUUUAGUUCCGAAAAGAUUUCGGAUUUCGGUACUGUAGCACUUUAAUAUUAUUCAAUUAUGGACUAACUAAGAUCAAAAGAUUCGUCUCGCGAUUUCUAGCUAAACUGUGUAAUUAGUUUUUGCUUUCGUCUAUAUUUAAUGGUUCAUGCAUGUGCCGCAAGAUUCGAUGUGACGGAGAAUCUUGAAAACUUUUUGCUUUUUGGGGUGAACUAAACAAGGCCUUACCUGCAGGGAAAUGCUAGAAACAGUAUGUGUCAUUUUCAAUUAGGUCUUGUUUAGUUCACCUGAAAACCAAAAAGUUUUCAAGAUUCCCCGUCACAUCGAAUCUUGUGGCACAUGCAUGAAGUAUUAAAUAUAGACGAAAACAAAAACUAAUUACACAGUUUUCCUGUAAAUCACAAGAUGAAUCUUUUGAUCCUAAUUAGUCUAUGAUUGGACAAUAUUUGUCACAAACAAACGAAAGUGCUACAGUAGCAAAAUAAAAAAAAUUGGCAUCUAAACAGAGCCUUAGUACUAUGUGCGUAUUGUACCGUGGCAGCUGGCAGGGCUGUAAGUUGCAUUGCUUAUGUGUUAAGGAAUAUUAAAGAGCAUCGGUGAAAAUUUUUCAGGGUAAUAAGGAGCAUCAGUGAUAGUGUGCCCGCUAGUAUUAGAACACGCAUGCGGUACCUGGUAUUACUUUCGUGCGUGAGCGCGCAAAGUGCUUUGUUAUUCAAUCAUAUUGUGGCACAGUGUGUUUGCAUCUAAUCGUAUAGCUUUUUGCUGAUGCUAGUGCUGGCUAUCAAAAUACUCGUAUGAGCUACGCAUAACCGGCGGGGUUAAAAAAGAUGAGCUACGCAAACCUUUCCAAAGUUCAAUACAUGCAUGCAAAGGAUCAAUGCUGGAGCAAAAUAAUUAAUCUGUAAGGGCACUCACAAUGCAAGACUCUAUCACAGAGUCCAAUACAAUUAAUUACAUAUUAUUUAUGGUAUUUUGCUGAUGUGGCAGCAUAUUUAUUGAAUGAAGAGGUAGAAAAAAUAAGACUCCAAAUCCACAUUGUUCGAGGUAAUAAAUAACUUUAGACUCUAUGAUAGAGUCUGUAUUGUGAGACUCUAUCAUAGAGUCUAAAUCUAUUUAUUACCUCGAACAAUGUGGACUUGGAGUCUAAAUAAGACUUGGAGUCUUAUUUUUUCUACCUCUUUCUUCAAUAAAUAUGCUGCCACAUCAGCAAAAUACCAUAAAUAAUAUGUAAUUAAGUGUCUUGGACUCUGUGAUAGAGUCUUGCAUUGUGAGUGCCCUAAUGUUUACUAUGAUCCCACCGAACUCUCUGGUCGCUGUGCCUGUAAACAAUUGAGCUUUCUUGGUGCUAGCUGACUUUGAAAAUUUACGGAGGCAGGCUAUCCUACUGGACUUUUCAGUUUCCGUGCAGUUUAUUGGUUCCAUGAAAGCAGAGCUGAUUUGGUCCACUUUGAGCAAUGCUACUUUCGUUCUACCAAUGCUUGUCAUUGUCAUGACGUAUUGUAGAUGUAUUGUGCAUGAGAAAGUUGACUUAUUAUUACCGCUAAUAUGUUUGAUGAAAGUUACCCAUAUGCAUUUCCUUUUGUUUCAGUAAAGUUAAGUCAAUUACUUCACAUCAGAGUAGAACAUUAGGAGUUAGGAGUGACAUGAAUGCAACGUGUGAGCAGUGACUAGUGACCAAAAUUAGGAGUUGGUGUGAAGCUAACCCAUUUGUAGUUUCUGUGGAACGGGAAGGUCCUGGCGUCCUGCUCAGUGUCGUCAUAGUAAGAGCAAUAGAAGGUGCGUGAGCUUUCUAAUGUUGCUCGCCACAAAAUCUACAAGUUCAGAUCAACUUGCUGCUCCCUGGCGGCCCGGCUCUAGCCCCUCUGCAUGCGGGCCCAUGCAGGCAGUGUCCUUAUUGCUUCAUGUUUUUCAGCUAGACAGUUGUAGCUUUACAAACUCUACUCUAAAAAAAAAUAGAGUUGUGAGAACACCUAAAAGAAGUGCUCUAAAAACUCUAGUUUUUUUUUUCUAUGAGGGCAUGUUUGGAACAAAGGAAUACAAAACAGAGAAAAGGAAAAAAGUAGAGGAAUAGGAUAGGAGUGUUGUGAGAAAACAGAGGAAUAGAAAAACGUAGAAAGAUAUAGAUAGAGAUGUUUGGAAUGCAGGAAUUUAUACGAUGUGAUUAAAAAGAAUAAAAAUUUAUUUUGUUAUUUGUAAUGAUUAUUAAUUAAAAGGAAAAAGAAUGGUAACUGACGCAUCAUUCUCGCAAACUUUCGAAGCAGUUCAACCGUCAAAGUCUGCACUUUCUCUCUCCGUGAGCGAGCGACGACGGCGAUUUGCCUUGGACUUCCGCGAAAACACGAGCUCGAACCGGAUGUUUUGUUUCCUGCGUUUCUACAAGCGAACCAAUCCUUUCCUCUGGAAUGGCAAUCUGCUUUCCUCCAUUCCAAACACAAGAUGAUGUCAGCAAACUAUAGGAAUCGAUUUCCUUUAAAAUUCCUGCAGAAAGCCUCCGUUCCAAACAGGGCCUGAAAUUGCUCUACAGUAAAGUUUGUGGAGCAGACAUAAACAGAUCCUAUGUACGCAGUCUCCCGCAGUCUCCUUUGCCCGAAUCAAAUAGGCCCCAAUGACUUGCGGUGCGGGCAGCGGCGAGCACCGGUGACCACCCUAUAGCUUGUUUGGUUUCCUUCUCUCAUACCACACCGCAUCUAGGUGCUAACUAUACAGUUGUUUGGUUGUAUGGUUCAGCGACACCAGGACACACAUAGUUGUUGCUUAGUUGCAGUAGUAAUGGUGCCAGAUGCAGGAUCGUGUCCCGCGCUAUAGUUCAGCGCCAGGACACACGAAGUUGUUUUAGUUGCAGUAGUAAUGGUGCCAGAUGCACGCCCGAGUUCCACGCGGACUAGACUAUGAAAAAUGAGUUUUUUCUUGACCUUUGUUACAAUUAAUUAAUUCUUUUUAUGAUGAACGGUCAAAAAAAAAAAAGACUCACUCGCUGGCUAACUGGAAAGUCCAUUUUAAGCAUGAGUUUGAAUUAAUUUGUAUCAAAGUCAAACCCAGUCGAGCAGACUCUUUUCUUUUAUGGCUCGAGAGUAUAUCCUAAUGUUGAUACUCUUUUCUUUUUUAGCUUUGUUAUCUCUUUUAGCUCCUUUAGCACAGCUCGUGCUAUUGCUCUUGUACUGGUUUUACUCUUUUGGUUGAAAUAAAAGAAAAAAGGAAAAAGAAAGGUGAGGGGCUUUUACCCCACCGUUUCCUCAAAAAAAAAAAAAAGACUCGGUAGGUAGCAACUAGUAGAUCCUCCUAAACAACAUAAAACAUCUCUUAACUUGGUACUCCUUUAAUUCUAAAUUAUAAGACAUUUUAUUUUUUAAUAUAUAAUUUUUACUAUAUAUCUUAGACACAAGUAGAACCAGGGCUGCAGCGAGUAAAGUCAACAGUGAAAUAAAUCUUUUUUUUUUGUGUCAUAGAAACCUUUUCUUUCUCUUGUUCUUACAUUUUUACUCUUUCUUUUUCUUCCUUGUACUCCCUCUUACUCUCUUGUUUGGAUCCUCUCCUUUGGAUCUUUUUUAAUAAACUAGUUGAGUACCCGUGCGUUGCUACGGGAAUCACUUACGGGUCAUCGCAUAUGCAUGUAUGAAUCAGUAUUUUAAUAAAAAAAGCUCAAUUCAACUUUGCCGUGGUUCCUCUUUUUACAACAUCAUAUAUGUGAUAGACAUAUAUUCAUUUAAACGAAGGAUAAGAUAUUAUUUGCUAAUGUAAAUAUACCAAAGAACUCAAAAGAGCAACAUAUUUCUACCAUGAGAACAACUUCUAUACUUCACUGUGCAAGUUCAACCUACAAGUCUCACAAAAAAAUGACAAAGCAGUAAAAUAAAAUUAAAAGGUGGAUCAUGUAGUUCACUCCCUGAUCAUUGAGUUGCAUUAAGUCACACAUCUGCAUUACAAAAGCUGAGUCAAUAAUUCCUCAACACAGUGAAUAUUCCAAGAACUUUAUAAAUGUAUAAUAUAGUGAAGACCACCACACUGGUUUGGACUCUACUAAUUCCCACUAUGGAUUUUGCCAUGAAUAAUGCCAAGUUUCAUUGCAAAAGUCAAGUACAUAAGUGCUCCAUAUAUUUUUUACAUGUAGAUAAUUCAUAGAUAGUUGAGAUACCUGAGGUUUGAAUCAGCUCCUUUGUUCCUUCUCCCAAUCAAGAGUUCAGAAAUGUAUCAGUUAUCACUACACCAAAGGGGGGAAUCUCUUAAUACAUGCAGUGACAAUACUAUGCUAGGCUUUUAGAUUGUUGGCCACUGACAAAGCAAAUGACUGAACCAAAGCAUGCCCUCAAAAUAAAAUUCCCUAAAGUUCCAUGAAAAUAUGAAGUAACUAAACCCUGAAUGUUUAUCUGAAUGUUUUAAAAAUGGAAAUAUGAAGUAACUAAACCCUGAAUGUUUAUCUGAAUGUUUCAAAAAUGGAAAUAUGAAGUAACUAAACUCUCAUGGGAUGGUACUGUCAGCUAAAUAUUUCCACGGAAGUUCAGUUUAGUCAUACUUUCUUUGCAUGUGUUCGUCAAGAGCAACCUUCCUUUGUUACUCGGCUAAUGUGGAUUCAGGGCCGGGGCAAACAGCAAGCCAAUGACCAGCCAAGUUACACCAAAUGUCCAGAUAGACAUACGCAAACACAGGAUACACCACCUUGAGCCACCAGAAUCUCAUAAAUAUAUCAAGAGAAAAUAUUUAUGGCUGCAAAGACGCAUACGAACAGCAGGUGCCAGUGAAGGCAAUGGAAAUCGAUAGAUUGAUUAGGAGGCCAAUAGGCAGGGUACAUAUAUAGGCGAGGACCCUAGGCUGGUUUAUAGAAUCGUGACCACAUGACUACAGACUACCCCGCCUACUGUACCAAAACGUUGUAGCAAUCCAAAUAAGUAUAAGAAAGUUGAUUCCUGGAGGUACAAGACUACUAAACUUGGAAACAUUAGUCAUCAAGCCGAUGCAGAUGACCUGAUAAGGAUGCUCCAAGGAGGAUGACCACAUGACCAGAUGAGGAUGCUCCAAGAAGUAUGUAAACAUGGCAGACUACUCACUAUUUGGCCAAUAGAGGCUUAUUUCUCACUGGAAUUUAGUAGAGGCAGUUUAAUUUGAGAACAAUAACCAUCCAUAACCAUUGCAACCGUAGAUCAAAACAUAAAUAAGUUCCCAAAAAAUAUACAUUUGGAUUUACAUUUUCCAGUUUGAGUAAUUUUUUUCCUACCAUUAUAGCAGUAAACAAUAAAAAGAAGAAGAGUCAUCUAUGGAUGUUGUUAAACACGAGUGGCCCAAUAUAAAAGAUAAAUAGUGUUACCUAAAUAAUGAAUGCUCCGAGUGUCUUGGUCAUGAUAUCUUGGAGUUUGGAGCCAAGAGAGUUCAAUGCAAUGAUAUAGAGUAAGUGGCUGCAAAAUAGAUCCUCAGGCAAUAAGUAAAUACAAUGGAGUCAGCAGAGAAGGCAUAUGAAUUUUAGACUCCAGUAAGCAUACAACGAGUUAGCACAGUAAAGCUAGAGAUGCACCUGUACAGGAGCAAAGGCAGCUUUGCAAGUUCCUUUCAGCUUUUAUGUUGUUAAUAGCAGAAAGGACAAAAGGAAUUACAACAUUUGCUGAGACUAAAAAAAGAGAUAAACUAAAAGCAUGUCAUGGUUUGGUUUAUGAACAAUCAGACAGUGAGAUAAGAGCAUAAAGAAAAAAAAUGGUAUGCAAGUCCUAUAAAGUGAAGAUAACAACAAGCAUGUAGAUAUGAAUGAAGAUUAUUCAGAACAAUCCAGAUAGAGCCGCUAUGAAAUACAAAGAACUUAAAUUAUCAUCAAAAUUAAAUUAAAUUAGUAAAUCAGAGUGCUAAUAAAACUUCUUAAAACAUCUUUUUUUAGUAUGGACCAGACCUUAAUAUUGGAUUCCAGAAAGACCAAUCUUAGAACCCACUCCGGUGGGGAAUCAAACUAAUACACUCUUGAUUAGGUCUGGUCAACUCAGUUGUCAAUGUACAAAAAUAUGCUCAUUGGAGACUCAUUGCUACAGAUUUUGUCCAAAACACAUAACACAAUUCUUAAUAUAUAAUAGAGUAGCAAGGUAAGCUUACCAAAACUUUUUUACGCUCGGUAACUUAGUAGCAGUCAGAUCUGCAAAUAAAAAUAGCAGAACAUACACAAUCAGCUAAGGAAAUGUAGCUAGCUAUAUGUCAAACUCAUGUCUGAAUAGAAUGGGGGAAACUUUACUCAAUCAUAAAUUAGUGGCACCAUUAGUAAGAUUACCUAUGUCUGAUUGUCAACCCUAAUCCUCUGAUUCUAGCACCAGCUCAACGUUCAAUCGAUCGAUUCCACCAUGCAAUCGGACUAAUCAGGGGCAGCAUCCCCACACGCUGAAAGAAGGCAGGGCAGGGGCGUUGUUACCUAGCACAUUGAUAUGGUCGAGCCACUGGAGGAGGUGGUCCUGGACUCCUGGUGCAUGCGGCGGCCGGAGGGAGGUGCCUCGAGCGAGCGAGAAGGGCAGCGACGAUUCGAGACUUCGGGAUCUCCAAGCGCGGAGUGGUCACCGGUGGCACCCUCCAGGCGGUGCGGCGGCGUGAGGGCAUGGGUGAGCGCGGCGACGGAGCGGGCUGACCCGAGUGUCGGUGAGCGUGGCUUGCGUUCGGCGGCGACGGCGGCGCGCGCAGAGAGCGGGCAGCCCCGACCGCCUGGAGUGUGCCCGGUGGCAAGCCGGCGGCAAUGAGCGGGUGGCGUCAACCUGCGUGGGGGCUGCGUAGAAGAAGGGAGCUGCGGCGGUUGGUGGCGAGAUGGGCGAGAGGAAGGGCGCAGCAGGGGAGGCAGGCCGACGGCUCGGGUAUGACGAUACCACUUGGGUCUUUUUAGUUGUAGAGAUUCCGUAGGGGCGAAAGCCGCUGUUAAAAAAAGUGAAACAAAUCUGAACCUGUAAGUGGGCAAAUCGGACAGGCCAACACAUUAGGCUACCGUGGACAUCGUUUUUGUGCAUGUCGCAGUUUGUAGACUUAAAUCUAAGUGCAUAGUAAAAAUUAUAUACUUAAAAAAACUAAAAUAACUUACAAUUUGAAAUUAAAAAAGUACUUAAUUUAGACCUCAUUUUGAAUUUAGGUCAGGGCCACCACUGAUUUCUUCGCGCAUAGGAAACAACGAAUCUGAAUAUGUCUUGCGAAAACUUGAACUAGGGGGAAAGUAUGGAAGUGCUUUAUCUCUUGCUUCUCUCCCAAAACUCCUUUGCUUUGUUGGUUGUCCAAAGCAUGCUAAUUGCACGCUGCAGCUUUUCCUUGAGCAUUUCAAUCUUCCAACGAUCUGUCACAAAUUCAGAACAAGACACUGAAACUGAACAUCCUCAUCGAUCUUGACCUUUUGUCUUCGGAAUGGUGAGAAACACGAAAAGGCUAUAGCAAUGUAAAGCUAAAGCAAAAUACAAAAUCUUGAAUGCUAUACGGAGGUUGUUUUGUUAUGAGCAGAAAUAAUCUCCUCAAAGGCCCCCCUCCGAACGUGAAAAUUUUGCACAAAAAAGGGCUAAAUUGCCACGUUCUUCCAAAUGGACUCUAUGGAAUGAAAAAAAACUAGUACUGAUUUAAUGAAGGUAAUGUAAAAUGCAAUUCGCGGAAAAUUCAAAAUCAAAUCCUGCUGUGUGCUGUCCCACCAGAAAAGGUACACCCAGCAAUGGGUUUUACGAGGGUUUAUUAAGGCCCUGUUUAGAUUGGAGAUAAAAAUUUUUUGGAUGUCACAUUGCAUAUGUCGGAAGAAUGUCGGAAGAGGUUUUUAGAAACUAAUAAAAAAACAAAUUACAUAGCUCGUCAGGAAACUGCAAGACAAAUCUAUUAAGUAUAAUUAAUCUAUCAUUAGUAUAUGUGGGUUACUGUAGCACUUAAGGCUAAUCAUGGAGUAAUUAGACUUAAAAGAUUCGUCUCGCGAUUUUUAACCAAACUGUGUAAUUAGUUUAUUUUUUAUAUAUAUUUAAUGUUCCAUAUAUGUGUCCAAAGAUUCGAUGGGAUGGAUGAAAAAAUUUUAGGUGGGAAACUAAACAGGGCCUAACCCUCUUCUCCUUCAUUCUUUUCUCCCAAGCUAAACGCAUUAAACCUCCUGCAAGGCAAGGCUACAACUUUACGAGAAGGAGGGAGGAGGCACAAACCGAAGGUACAAAUCCCCGCGCCGGAAGGUUUCGCCUUCCUUGUCUUCUCAGCCCCAAGGCCCAAGCACGAGCACCCAAUGCUGCGCGCCGCGGCCGUCGCAGGGUUGCCGGCGCGGCUCGCCGCCAAGAGGCCACUGGCGCCGGUGACUGUGGCGGCGAGGGUUGCGCUUGCGAGUACCGAGGCGAGGUCGCCACUUCUCAGGGCACUGAGGCGCGGGGGAGUCCCGGUGCGUGGGAGGAGAGUGUGCAUAUGCUCCGCCGCCGGCGACGAUGAUAGCGGCUCGGAAGCAGCGUCCUCCGCGGCGGAGGGCGAAGAGGCUGGGUCUGGGGAGGAAGGCGAGGGGGAGAAUGCCUCUGCGAUCGUGCCCGCUGUCCUCCGCCCCGAGGAUUGCCACACGGUGCGCGUCCUCUUACAAUUGGAUCGCCAUUAAUAAGCUAUUCUCUGCGGUUUGCGUCAUCCGUUUUUUUUCGAAUUAUUUGCCAAAUUCUGCUAAGGCAGGCAGCUGUUUGAUAACUAUACCUGUGAUUUUUUAUAAAAAAAAUUCUUCUAAAGGUUUUGUUUUCGGAACUUAGCUCGGUUGGAUGAUUUUUCUUUUCGACCUUAUUAGAAACCGGAAACAUUGAAACUAUAUUGAAGUUUUGGUGAUAUUCUUUUUUGUACAAUGAUAUCAUAUAUGAUGCAGUGGGUAUUUUUGUUAUAUGACCACCGGUUGAGUUAUUUUUGUUAUUAUUAGCUAAAUUCACAUUGCUGUUUCCUUAGUGUGUCUGUUUUUUGUUAACUGAGAGUGGGUAUUCUUGUCUGGAGGGAGAAAAGGGAAUGGUGGUUAUGGGCAGUAAAAAUUGUUAUCAAGUGACUGCUCUGUGGCCAGUGCUCAGAACUUGUGAAUUAGAUAACAAAUUAUUUGAGGUUAUUGCUGACAAUAUACUCAAUGGAAAGGUUAAAACAGAGUGUCUACAACUUGCUGUUGUCUUGUAUGACCGAGAAAAUUAUUAGAUCAGGUUUCGCUAUAUGUGCCACUAGAAGAAAGACAUCUGGGGUUGUUCUUUUGUUCAGUAUAUAAUUUCUGGCUUGCUUUUAUCUGAUACUGCCCAGUAUUUCUUGAGUUAUCACAUAAGAAUAUUUUUUAGUAGAUAAUUUGUGGCCUGCCACCUGCUUUUAUCAGUAAAUGCCAGUACUAUGAGCUAUCAAGUUUGUUUCAUUGGCCUUUUCCAUAAGAACUUUUUAUUCUCUUUAUUGGUGGCUUUUGUUGGGUUUCAUCUCUAGCCUACCAGUUGAAUUAAAAAGUCUUUGUUUUUUUGUUAUUUAGUGUUCAAAAUUUAAUGAAAUGAAAUACUGGUACAUUUCAGCAAACAAGGAGCCGUUUUGUAUUACUGCUAUGAAUUCAGGUUCUCUUCUCAUUCCAUUCUUAUGGUGCUGCCAAAUAGGUCAUAGCUUUGCCUUUGCUACAGCGACCACUAUUUCCAGGAUUUUACAUGCCAGUCUAUGUAAAGGUAUCUUGCGAAUCAUUUUACAAGAUAUAAAUCAGUUCCUCACAUACCACUUCUUCUAUGUUCUAUGUUUUUGUGCCUUCGUACUGGUAAUAUAGCCCUUCAUUUCCCUCAGGACCCAAAGCUGUUGCAAGCUUUAGUUGAAAAUAGCAAAAGAUCUAUACCAUAUGCUGGGGCCUUUCUUGUCAAGGAUGAGGAAGAGACUGGCCCCUAUGCUGUGAUCAGUUCAGAAUCAGAUACCUUUUUUUUGAACGCAACUGGUUCAGAAUCAGGUAAUAGCAUUCAUGAAUUGAAAGGGAAGGAAUUGUUGAAGAAUCUUCAUGAUGUUGGCACUCUUGCCCAGGUACUUGGUAGUUUUGCAAAGCUUGUGGGUGACAUAUCUUUCUCUGAUGAUUUUGAAAUGUGCUUUAGAUAACAAGAAUUCAAGGAAAUCUGGUGGUGCUACUUGGUCACCAUCGUAUACGUACAUCUGAGAUUGUUAGUUAAACUCCUCGCUGCUUCCUAUUUAGUUUCUCUGACACUUCUUUUUUUGGUCAUUGUAUGUUAAUAAAAACUAAACUAUACAGGUUGUGGAUGAGCCACUUACGGUUAAGGUUGAUCAUCUGAAGGUACAUAUACCAUAACUAUUGUAGUGUCUCCAUCUUCAAACUUUAUCAAUGUACAGAUCUGCAAAGGCUUCAAACCCUGGAAACAGGGACGGAGUCAGAACAAACUAUAUAAAGGGGGGCAAUUAGUACCUUCUAUAUAACAGAGUGGAACAAAACGCCAAAUUUUAUAACAAAUUAAACUGUUUUAUGCAGCAUUUGGUGUGUGCAGACAUGGAGUACAUAGAGCAUAUGGGGGGCAGGGGUGCAGGGCUACCCCUCGUAACCCCCUGCCUCCAUCCUGCUUGGCAACUCUCAAAUAGGCUUGGACUAUGUGUUUAUUAGAGUUUUAUAAAAGAUAAUAUGAAAAUCAACACAGUCCAUAAAAAAAUAUCUUCGUGUUUUUUUCUUGAAGAGACAGAUAGAAACAAUAAAAGAAAUCUUGUUCCUAUCUAUCUAGAGAAAAAUGAGCUGUUUUCACUUGUGAUACAAGGUACAAGGUGGGCAUUUUCAACUAAAAUUUGGCUUCAGAUGGGUUUAUAAUUUACUGCAUUGUUAUGGAUGAGAUUCGUCUCACUAAAGUUUGCUCCCUGUUCCUGUGACUGCAUGCCUUACUAAGUUGAAAAUAUUCUUUGAAAUUUGUUAUUGGUGUGUGCCACUUUUUGGCACCAAUUGAAUAUGUACUCAGAUUUGAAAAGUAUUCAGUUCUUAUUACUUAGCGUCCAUUCUACAGGAACUACCUUAUGAUAAGGAUGAUGAUGUCAUAAAGGCGAUGUCUUUUGAAGUUAUAUCCACUUUAAGGGAUGUUCUCAGGGUAAACUCCCUUUGGAAGAAUCAAGUUCAAGCCUAUACCCAGGUUGCCUUGCUUGAUAAUCCUACCUUUAGUGUAAAUCAAAAUGAUUUUAGUUUUGUUUAUUUGUAUGUAAAUAUGCUAUUUCUGCACAGAACCUAAAGGGUUGUGUUUGUGCCAUGGUAUAACCCUGUGUUGUCACUCAUUUAUAGUAUGCGGCAGUGACAUUAUAUAAGUCUUAAUGUCUGUUUGACCUUUUGUUUUCAUUGUUUAGUUAAAUAUAAACAAGAUAUUAAUACUAGGCACUGUAGAUGCUCAUAGUCAUCAUUACCACAGUCCACAGAGUAUGUGGCUUCAAUAUAUUUAUAUAUUAUUAUUAUUAUGUUCAGUAUUUGUCAUCUAUGUGGUUACUGGUCAAUAAAUUAAACCAACACUGCUCCCCUUCCAUGACAUAUUUUCCUUGUGUGUAAUUUCCAGAUUGUACUUGCAUUUAAAUGUUAGGCUGAUUUCAUCAUUGUGAAUAUGUUCUUACUUUUUCCACAGCAUAUGGGUGACUUCAACUACCCAAGACUAGCAGAUUUUGGUGCUGCUAUUUCAGGCGCCAACAAGUUGCUUUGCCAGGAAGUUCUUGAAGAGUUAGAUGUAAGGGUUCUCAUGGAAUCUCCUUUUACAUAUUAACCAUGUUAUGCAUGCAGAUAAAUAUUUUUUUUUAUGUUAUCUCUGUACUGCUUCUGAAUGACAUUUGGUAUCUGACUUAUUAACUAUUACCUAUUAGCUACCUGGCAUCUUUUCUUUCGCUUUUAUCCAAAAUUCCAACUCAUUCAUUUUCAAACAGGUAUGCAAACGGUUGAAGUUGACUCUUGAGUUGAUAAAGAGGGAGUUAGAGAUUAGUAGGUUGCAGGUAAAUGCUGAUCUCAUAGGCAGACAACCACAUUUCAAGUGCCUUCUUUAUUUUUAAUUAUACUUCUAUAAAUGUCAUCAGGAAUCCAUAGCAAAAACAAUUGAAGAAAAAAUUACUGGAGAACAGCGCCGCUACUUGUUGAAUGAGUUGCUUAAAGCAAUUAAGAAGGUAGUGCUGACAUUGUUGUUCCUUGUUUUUAUUUUCUCAAAUACGCAAGAGAGCUGAGUAUCAUUGCAUUAAGGAGAAAGAGGUCUUAGGAUACAACACAAAUUACAUUAUGAUAGUGCCACUGAACUGUGAAUGGUCGACCUGCAGUACACACAGCUUAUUAUACCAAACUCAACUCCAGGCACAAGACCUCUGGCACCACUGCACCAGCCAGCACCCACGUUUGUGCUUCUUCCCUAGCUCACUGAUUAUUCAUACACAGCUUCCAUCAAGAAUCCAUGAUAAUAAACUAUAUUCCUUCUGUUGAGUUCUUGUACAGUACCUUGGUUCGUGAAUACGUAAUAUUAUGUUCAUUAUAUAAUUCGUCAUUCAUGUUAGAUGUUUACCUCGCCUGGUAAUACUCUUUUUUUUUGGGUUGAUUUCAUUUUGUUUGACAUGAUGUUUAGCUUCUAGUUUGAUAAUGUUUCAUUGCUUAGUAUGCCUGAUGUAUGCAGGAGCUAGGAUUGGAGACAGAUGAUAAAACAGCUUUAUCAGGUUUGUUCUUAAAAACUUGGUAUUUCGUUGUUGUGCCAACUAAAAAUCGAUUUUCCAUUAUCAAUCUUGCAGAAAAAUUUAGGGAAAGGAUUGAAGCAAAAAAAGACAAGUGCCCCCCUCAUGUCUUACAAGUCAUUGAAGAGGAGCUCACUAAGCUUCAGCUGUUAGAAGCUAGCUCCAGUGAGUUCAGUGUAACCCGCAAUUAUUUAGACUGGCUAACCGUGUUGCCCUGGGGAGAUUACAGGUUUGUAUUGUCUGUAUUUUUUAAAAAUAUAUUGGAUGGAUAGAUAUGUCCUUAUGUGUUGGUUUCUCUGUCUAUGGCAGUGAUGAAAACUUUGAUGUGCACCACGCUCAACAUAUUCUUGAUGAAGAUCACUAUGGUCUAGCUGAUGUCAAAGAAAGAAUUUUGGAAUUCAUAGCAGUUGGAAAGUUGAGAGGAAGUUCACAAGGUCUGAUUUGUUCCAUAUUAUAAUGAGUGCAGAUUUGGUGCCUAGGGGUCUGGCGCCCUCGUUAGCUAAAAUACCAUGAUGUUUCAAAAAUUAUCACAAAAAUCAUAAAUGUAGCACACAUAAAGUUAAGUAUAGCCGCAACAAUUCAGUUUGAAAUUCAUCCUAGAUGCCAAGAAGCAAAAUAGACAAGCAAUCAACAUGGCACUGUUCAUUUGCUGACAGUGACACUUCUGGUUUUUUUAAUCUCAGCAUCAAAGAUGGAUUCCAAACUGAAUUGAAGGCUACACUUGAUUAUUUUUAUGAUUUUUGAAACAUUGUAACAUGGUAUUUUAGCUGACGGGGGUGCCAUAUGAUUUUCCUAUUAUAAUGUUCUAAACUUGUUUUAUGCUGAAUGAGCGCUCUUUAUAAAGCCCUAAAAUCUAUGCUAAUUGUAUCUUAAUUGAAACAAUUACUGAAUUACAUACUUCGUAUUGUCACACAUUGAUCAAAAGUCAUGGUUCUUGCUGGAAAUAAAAUUUUAUAUUUUCUUUCAACUGCUUUGCUAUUUCUUAGUUCUCUUCCCUGGCCAGAUGCUCAAUGUAUGCUCUAGUGUUGGAGAACUGGGAUCUCAAGGCAUUAAGAAAAAAAAUAUGCUUUAUGUAAUACUCCUCUAGUUCCUGACUUCCUGUUAAUUCGAAUCAACAAUUGUAUGUAACCUGGUUCUACAAUUUUCCUCCUAACUGUAGCAAUAAAUAUCUGUUUUGCUCUUUCACUGCAGGUAAGAUCAUAUGUCUUUCUGGGCCACCUGGAGUUGGAAAAACUAGUAUUGGACGUUCAAUUGCACGUGCACUAAACCGGAAGUUCUACAGAUUCUCUGUUGGAGGUUUGACCGAUGUAGCAGAAAUUAAGGUUUGUUAUGCAUGUUAUGCAUUUAACAGAUCAUGAUUGCUACCGAGUAAAAUUUUCAGACCAUUUUAGGGUCAUCGGCGGACAUAUGUUGGGGCAAUGCCAGGGAAGAUUGUUCAGUGUUUGAAAUCAGUAGGAACAUCAAAUCCUCUAGUUUUGAUAGAUGAGAUUGACAAGGUAUUUGUGCGCAUCUUUGACUUAAAAGUCGCUAUUAUUGCUUCAUUUUAGGAACUGAAGUGCCAUUAUAUUUUACUUGCUGUUAUAUGGUGUACAAGAUUUACUUUAUAUAGCAAUUUUCAUGGUUCAUCUGGUAAUCUGGGUUAUUGUAUACUACCUUACUGGUUGUGUUGUUUCCUGCCUCCAGCUUGGGAAAGGGCAUUCAGGUGAUCCAGCCAGUGCACUAUUGGAACUUCUUGACCCCGAACAGAAUGCUAACUUUCUUGAUCACUAUCUAGAUGUCCCUGUUGACUUAUCCAAGGUUGGUCCAGUACUUCAAUAAGUGAUUCUCUUUUAGCUGCUCAAUUUGUUAUGGUCACUUCCAAUUGAAAUCGAAAUCAGUAUUUCAUUCUCUGUCUGCUAAAAAGAAUUCAUUCCAGACAAUAACAUCGUAAACAUAGGGACUUAGUAUGUGCCAUUCUAUAGAAUGACAUUUCGUGGUUACCCUAAUAUAGAUGAUAAUCCAAUGUUUUGCACUCCAAAACUGUAUUCUCUGUAUUUUGCCUUUAUUGAUGAUAUGGUCUCUCACCUUCUAAGUCCCUGCUUCCCACCUUGACAAAGCUGCCCCUUGCUAAGUAUAGUUAUGCCUCAGAGACUAUUAAAAACAAUAAGAUCAACCCAAUCAAGCUUGCGCUUUCCAAGGCCGGAAGCCCAACCCAGUCAGAAAAAGGAAUAGGCCUGCCUGAAAACCUCAGUUUAUUUAGUUCCUAUAUAUCCUCUCUCUCAUAUGUCGUCACUGGGUCUCACAUCUGCCGCGACAGCAUUGCACAAGAGUGGGCAGUGGCUGAGGGGCCUCUUGCUCGGAGACGAUGGAUGUGGCUUAGGCCUUGUUCUUGGGUUCGGUGGGUGGUUGUAGAGGCUGCACUUUGUUUGGAUAUAGUUGUUGUUUUGGGUAUGCUUCCAUCACCGGCCUCCAUGGCUGAUGAAUGAAGAAAACGACAAGGCAAAGAGGGUCGGUAAAGGUGUGACAAAAUAGUGAAAAGAUUGGAGUUAAAAAGGACAGGUUACAAGUCACAUUCUGUGGCAGUUUAGAUGUAAAUAUCCCCAUAAUAUGGUGUGAGUGUGUGUGACAAGGAAUAUGGAUAAGUUCAUAAUUAGGGGUAUACAUUCUACAUUCUUAAUCACUAUCUCCUGGAUGUAGCUUUUUUUAGAUCGGGUCUUUAACGUGUUUUUUAUUAAGAGGAAAGGCCAAAAGAAAGGCCGGAGCAUGGAUACAAAAGAACUCACAAGUAGUCCUAGGAUUACCGGUGGAAUCCUAAAGACACAAACAAAUAGCAAGAAUACAUGAGGGGAGGAGCGACCCCACCACAAAACACCAACUGACUAUGCCUACAAAAGAAAAUACAUCCACGCAAUGGUCGCCAACAGAGGGUGGGUUAAGCCACGGUGGCAAAGCAUCCACCGGUAGGUCCGCAAGUGACCAGGUAGUCGGUGCAAAGCAGAAGAUGACAGAAUCCGCCAGCGACCAGGUAGCCGCUGCGAAGUAGAGAACCAGUACCAUCAGCGACCAGGUAGCCACUGCGAAGUAGAAAACGACAGUGUCCGCCAGCGACCAGGUAGCCGCUGCGAAGAGGAACGACGGCGGCGACACCAAGCAGGCUGGACAAACCAUUGCAAAGACGAGCACGAGGCACACACAGGCACAGUCAAGAAGGGACGACUCCAACGAGAGUGGCAGGAGAUGGGCUGCAGUAGUGCUCCAACGAAGCUUUCAGGAAGGACCUUGAAAUCCGCAGACGCCAACAACGCUAGCAGAAGCACACGAGUAGGUCUCUCGAUCUCAGCCUACCCCAAUGGACAGGAGCUUCAACGACGCCUUCAAGAAGGAAACAUGGCGCAGGCUGCGCCACCGCCACAGGCCCAGGCGAGCCGGGCAAGGUUUUCACCCAGUUGUUUAACGUCCACCAGAGCAGGCCACCCAUAGCACCUGUAGCGGCGACAUUGAUGACAAAGGUCGAAGCCGCCAGCAUGGGCACCAUGACCGCAGCAACAUCAACACCACCACUAUGCCAAGAAGGUUGUUGGCUGCCGUCAUCCCCGGCCACCAGAUCCGCAGCACAGGCGACUCGCAAUCGACAUCACCAGCAGCCUCAGACAGCCGCCGCCCCGUCCACCCCUGCCACGGGCGGAUUGGGCAGACUGAGCUCUAGACCCGGAUCAACACUGGUGGCCAUGCACUCUACAUCGGCCGUCAGGAGUGCGAGUGUAGGGGCACACUAGCCGGCCGCAGGCCGCUUGCCCACCUUGCAGCAGACGCAGAUCGGCAGCCUUCUUGUGAUGAUUGAAUAAUUAUAGUACAGCCUUUGAGACUGGCCUUAUUGUGAUGAUUGAAUAAUUAUAGUACAGCCUUUUAUCCUCGCGAGGAACUUUACCGAUAAGUGUUUCCAUUUAAUGUGGACAAUAAUUGUGUUAAUUUUAUUAUAGGCUGACAUCUGUCUUUAUGUAAAAUUAGGUUCUUUUUGUUUGCACUGCAAAUGUCAUUGAGAUGAUACCAAGCCCUCUGCUGGACAGGAUGGAAAUCAUUGCCAUUGCCGGUUAUAUAACUGACGAGAAGAUGCAUAUUGCUAGGGAUUAUCUAGAAAAAAACACAAGGGAGGCCUGUGGCAUCAAGCCUGAGCAGGUAUAUGCUGCUUUUCUACUGUUUUCAGGAGAACACUAAGGGAAAGCUCGCAAAAAUGUAUUAGUGUAAAAAAAUAUGAUUUGCUUAGUAUUCUACAAAUGUUGCACAGAGAAUAAGUCUAACGCAACCAAAGCACGAGCAACUAGUUCACUGUCCAGUCAACACAAGCAAAGCACAAGCCAUUGGCUUGUUUGAGGGAGCUUUUUGCAGCUUUUGUUUCUCCAAAAAGCUCAAAAAACCAGAAGCUCUUCUUCAAGCAGACAAGAGCUCUAAAAGCUGCAAUUUUUAGUAAAAGCAGAGAAGCUUCCUCAGAGCAGCUUCCCGAGCUUUUCCAGGAGGCGCUUUUGGAAAAGCUACAGCUCCCCCAACAGGGCCAAGGAUUUCUUAGUAAUAGACCAAUCUUAUUUUAUACAACUAAAACUUUGUUAAUAAAUGCAAAUGUUUACAUGUAAUAUCAUCCAUCAAAAUCCACAAAAAACACUUUCAUAGACUAGCUCUCUAGGUGUGCAAGCUGUCAGCUAGGGAUCAAACCCUGGUGGCACCCAAAAAAAUCCCCCCUGCUGGCAACACCCAUCCACCAAAAAAAAUAAUGACACUUGACACGGCACUGGCAGUGGCAGUGUUCACCAGCCUAGGUAACGUCAUCCCAAUCUUAGUCCCUUCCCAUUCUCUGCCACCACGCGGCUAUCAUCCAGGUGGUGCUUACCACAAUGAUGAACUAUGGUUUGUCACAAGUAUGAGGUUUUGAGAAAAAGUCACAAGAAGAACAAGGACCUCCUAGCUUUCUUGCCGAGUUAAAAUACUAACAAACUGUAUAUGCAUUUAUCUAAUGCACUUAUAAAGUUUCCUCUGCCUUGUAUUUUUUUUAUUUACAGCUAAUUUAUUAACGGUUUAGUACAUGCUCAGGUUGAGGUCACAAAUGAUGCUCUUCUUGCUCUUAUUGAAAACUACUGCCGCGAAGCUGGUGUGCGGAACCUUCAAAAACAGAUUGAAAAAAUUUAUCGAAAGGUGAGUGAUGCCUUCAUCUUAAACAAUUUUGAACCCUCAUUUGUUGCUUAUCCUAUUUUAGGGGGAAAAAAGGAAGAUGUUGUUUAAUAGCUCAGUCUAUUAUGUAACCAGCAUAUGCCAUUUUCAUUGACUAAUAGGCCUGGACUGACCUGCAACUCACCAGUCAGUGAUAUGAAUCUUUGUAUGAGUCUGUUAUCUUGAAAAUCUCUCCUUUUUAGAGUGUCAUAGAAUCUGUGUGCUAUUAUCUGUAUACAGAGAAUGACUUAUGUAACUGUAAGCUUGUAGUUCACACAUUUUACAACUUUGAUUGCUAUUUAAAAAACGGUGUGCAUUUUAACUUAUAAAGAUGUCUUCCAGUAACUAGGACUAGGAGUAGUUAUUUCAAGGGAGUUACUGGAAGACAUCUUUGUACAUAUAUCCCAUUUUUAGUACUUGGUAGCAAGAAAUCACUUCAAUUUUGAUCAUCUGUAACUGAAAGGGCAAAUAAUAAUGAUAGAAAAUGAUGUGUUGAAGACAUGGCUACUAAUACCGUGUCCUUGUUUUUGCAUCCUUUUCAUCUACCAGUAACCAGACGUUUUCAUUUGUCAUCCCUGAUUCAACCUUUGCAGAUAGCUCUGAAACUUGUCCGUCAAGGGGUAUCAAAUGAGCCACCUCGAGAUAUCACAGUAGUAGAAGAAGAUAAAAAGUCAUUCAAUUUUGAUGUUGCAACAAAAGUAGAAGAUAAGAACUUGAAGAAUUCUAUCGCAGAAGAUGCUUCAGUGGACGUGGGCCCAAUUGAUUCUUCUCUUGAUAAUAUUGAUGUGGUGCCUUUAACAACAGAGUCGAAAGUAGGCCACAAUGAGCAUUUGAAUGAAGCACCUGCAAAAACUUUUGCAGAAGAGACAGCCAAACUAUCUAAUACUUUUAAGAUACCAGAGGUAAUAUGACUACCUUUGUAAUUUCCUACAAAUGGAACUAAAAUCUUGCACUCUUUAUGGUAAAUGUGCAAUGACUAUGCUGGCCCCUUGUGCACUUGAUUGUUGACAAUGUCAUGCACUAACUGCUGGCUCUGUACCUAGUUAGAACCAGACAGGGAAGCUACAGGUAAAAAUCAAACUUUUUUUUGUUCUUGGCAUGUGAUGAUUAUCCACUUUCCUGUGAUGGAAGUUUGAUAUGCUUAUGCUCUUAUUUCUAUUUUCUGGUAGCCUUUAUGACACUGUUUUUGUUAGUAAUGUACUGCAACAGAUGGUAUUCAUUCACAAUUUCUGGCUGAUUAUCGUGUCUAAGAUCUCCAGUAAAUAAAACCCAAGGCAAUUACAAAUUGCAGAUGGAUGCCUUAACUAGCAUAGGUUUGACUGAUUUGUGUGGUUAAGGCUUGUGCUCUAAUUAAACUGUUCUUUAAUACUUUUUUGUAGGCCAACAAUGAAAGCACACAUAGGACUAUGGAAGUGCUUGUAGACAAGCCUGAGGAGAAAGUUGUUGUCAAUGCAUCAAAUCUUGGUAAUUUUGUUGGGAAGCCUGUGUUCCAAGCAGAGCGCAUAUACAAUCAGACUCCUGUUGGAGUGGUCAUGGGUUUAGCUUGGAAUGCUAUGGGUGGUUCGACCUUAUACAUUGAGACAGCAAAAGUAGAGGAAAGCAAAGGCAAGGUCACACUUGUUGUGACAGGUCAGCUUGGCGAUGUCAUGAAAGAGAGCGCCCAAAUUGCACAUACAGUUUGUAGAGCUGUAUUACUAGAGAAAGAACCAAAUAAUCCCUUCUUUGCAAAGUCAAAGCUGCAUUUGCAUGUUCCUGCUGGCGCCACACCAAAGGAUGGGCCGAGCGCUGGGUGCACCAUGGUAACAUCGAUGUUGUCCUUAGCCAUGGGGAAAUCUGUGAAGAAAGACUUGGCAAUGACUGGUGAAGUAACUCUAACUGGACGAAUUCUUCCAAUCGGUGGGGUAUGGUUUUAACACUUUUUAUUUGCUUUCUGGUUUGGUAGGAAUUUACAUGCUAUACACAUUGGCACUCUUUUUCUUGUCUUUCAAAAUCAGGUGCAAUGAUAUUGUCAGUAAAAGCAAAUCUUGAUUUCAUGAUUGUGCCUGCUCCCCCUAGACUUCUCAAAUGAGUAUGAUCUGAAAUAUUCUAUCCCAUGUCAUUUGAAUUCUGGUAAUUGAUGAGUUAUCUACAUAUUAUAGAACCAGAUGAAUACAAUGAAAUAGGGGCAGAUCAUGCUCUAAUCUAUGGUCUUUCUCCAUCUAGAAUAUGCUCUGACCAUGGGUGGGAAAAACCCUUUCCUAGAUUGAAUUCUUGAUUGGCCCCCAUAAUCAUGGACUAGAUUACCUUUUAUAUAAGAGGUACUAUUUUACUAACUUAGGGAACUAGGAAAUAGACAAUCAAUAGAACUAUCUAACUUUUCCUAGUACUUCUCGACUAGAUAAGUUGUCUAAAUUAAUUUACCUCCUUCCAUAGCAUAACAUUUACGGUGAAGUUUUCAUAAAUGUAUCAUGUAAUAACAUCAAUUACGCAUUCAAAAGCUCUGAACCAUUCACAUGCGUACUUACAUUGUUUGCAACCUACUGUGAGAUUAUCAUAUUGCUAUUAUUACUGUCACUGAAAUGUCUCUUAGGUGAAGGAGAAAACCAUUGCUGCAAGGAGAAGUGGGGUAAAGACAAUCAUAUUCCCAUCAGCAAACCGAAGGGAUUUUGAUGAACUUGCUUCUAAUGUGAAAGAAGGUCUUGAAGUCCACUUUGUUGACAAAUACAGCGAAAUAUAUGAUAUAGCUUUUGCAAAUGAUACCAAGACACAGGAAAGCUAGUGAUUAACUGCUAGAGUUCAUUUUCCAUUUCAAUUCUUGGAAACAACAGAUUUAAAGCAAUCGAGCUUCUUCAAUAUGAGGAUAAUGGCUGGCUUCACAGAAACUUUUAACAUCCCUCACAAGUUUUUGGGCACAUCUUACGACAUGAGAACAUAAAAUAAAUUCUUGCAAGAGCGUAGUGCUAAUGCCAAUAUAGCUUGACAAGUUGCCCCCUUCCCUUCUGGUAAAUUAAUUGUUAUGUGAAAGCUCAGAAACAAUGGGAAUGCAUAAGUGUAAUCAUUGUCUAACUUGUACAUAAUUCCCCAGUGGUGUAUGUAUGUAACCUGGCCAUUGUAAGUUCUGAUAUUAUCAAAAAUAAUAAUUUUUUCAUAUAUAUGGUCGAAGUUAAAAAUAAUUAACUUCUGGAAAGUGAGAAUAAUAUUUAUUUUAGGACGGGGGGAGUACUAUUUAGGGCUUUUUGAUAUAGGAAAAAGUCUACAUAACCCCCUAAACUAUCUAGUGUGGACUACUUCAACCCCCCAACUAUGAAACCGGAUAUUCUACCCCAUCAACUUUAAAAACCGAUCAAAUAACCCCCUCGAGUGGUUUUGGAGGGUGGUUUUGUCUUUUUCUUUUUUAUUUAUUUUUACUGAAACUUUGAAAAAUCAUAAUAAAUUAUGAAAAAAUCAUAAAAUGAAAAUUUUAAUUUUUAUAGACUCGUGAUGAGUUGAUCUACACAGUGAAUAUAUAAUAUGGUAUACUUUAGUACAAAAUUUUUGUUGUAGCUUUAAAUCUAUGUUUUUCUGUAAUUAAUUUGAAUAAUUCAUAUAUGCAGUUCCUGUGGUCCAAUUGUGGUAAAAGUUUUAUGGUGGGCUCAUUAUUGUAUGCUUGAACUAUAGUAAAAAUUUCAUACUCAUUGGAUCACGUAUAACUUAGUUAUAAAUAAAGCAUAGAUUUAACAAGAAUAAAGCUAAAUAAAUUGAUAACUAAGUUAUACGUGAUCCACUGGGUAUGAAACUUUUACCAUAGUUCAAUCAUACAAUAAUGAGCCCGCCAUAAAAAUUUCACCACAAUUGGAUCAUAGGAACUGCAUAUAUCAAUUAUUCAAUUUAAUUAUAGAAAAAUAUAUAUUUAAAGCUACAACAAAAACUUUAUACUAAAGUAUACCAUAUUAUAUAUUCAUUGUGUAGAUCUUAAGUCCAAAAAAAUUCAAAUUUUAAUUUUAUAAUUUUUCUAUGAUUUAUUAUGAUUUUUCAAAGAUUUAGCGGAAAUAAAUAAAAAAGAAAAAGACAAAACCACAAUCCAAAACCACUCUAGGGGGUUAUUUGACCGGUUUUGAAAGUUCAGGGGGUAGAAUAUCCGGUUUUAUAGUUCGGGGGGUGAAGUAGUCUAUCCUUGAUAGUUUGGGGGGUUAUGUAGACUUUUUCCUUUUGAUAUACAUACCUAGUUACUAGUUAGGGCUAAAACUUAGCUUAAAUUAGUUAUGAUUGGCUAACGACUUGCUCUGUCUCUCUGAAAGCUUCAAUUACUAGAUUCCAUGCUAGUCAAAAAAAUUUAAGUUUAACCAAUUUUAUAGAAAACAGUAUCAAUAUCUGUGACAUAAAUUGAGUUUCUUAUGAAAAUGUAUUCUAUGAUAAAUCUAAUGGUACUAAUUUGGUGCCAUAGAUUUUAGUGUUUUUUCUAGAAAUUCGGUUAAAGUUUAAAAAUUUUGACUUAAGACAAUUCUAGGAAUUAAAGCUUUUAAAAACAGAGGGAGUAGUUGAAUACUUGGCUAGAAAAAAUAGCCUACCUAUUUGCUCUCCUAUUUUGAUGCACUAUAGCUAAUUUUAGUUAAUUUUUAACUAGCUUAGCUCUUGUAUCCAACGUACCCUUACUAAGGUCUUAAUUAUUUAGAUUCACCUAACUAUCUAGUUGUGUUAGCUGGUAGAAAUCAGCUAGUAACUAAUUGUUAGUGGAUGGUAGCUAAGAUAUUAGCUAGUUUAUUAGUUAACAGGAUUUAAAUAGGAAAUAAUCCGAUUUUUAGUAGCUAACUAUCAGUUAGAUGGAAUCAAACAUGUCCAAAAUAUAUCGUCUUGUUUGUUUGUUGAUAAGACAUGACAAAAAGUAUUAUUCGCUGAUUUAUUAUGAGAGAAAAAUACUGCUGAAUAGUUGACAGAUUCAGCUGAUAAGCUCAAGCGAACAAGUUGUAUAAAUAGCAUCAUGCACGUUUUUUUUUCUACGUCAGCCACCUCACUAGUAUUUUUAGCUAAUAACUAAAAAGUUAGUAACUAUUAGUUAAUUAUUAGCAAGAGGUUGUUUGGAUCCACUUGCUUAUAAGUUGUUAAUAUGUUGCUGGAAAUAUUUAAACAAUUAGCAUCCCUUUAUAGCUAUAUUUUGAUCAAUAGUGCCAAGAGUUGUUAAAUAUUAAUCAGACUAGUGAAUUCAAACAGGCACUAAGCAUGCACACGCUAACACACAUCAGCAGACAUCAUAUGGCGACACGGAAAGCUAGGUCCCAAUGAUGUAUAGAUGUACGCUUCACUUCCAUUUUCGGAGGGCUCAAACUCAUUUUUUUCUGUCGAUUUAUACAUUAUUUGGAUGCAAAGUAUUUGCAGAGUAUUAAAAUAUAAAAUACUAUGGUUCUAUAAAAUACGUCGUUUUUUUGGGAAUUUAAAAAACCCCAACCAUGCCUUUUUUAAAAUCAUGAUUUUGUUGUAUCUUUUUAUAGCUUAUAAAACCACAAUUCUGUGAUCAGAGUCAGAGCCAGCUUUUAUAGGGGCCAAUUUGGGAGGAAAACCAUUGUUCACAGGAAUCAUUGACCUCGAUUAUACAUUGUUGCCGUAGAGAUGACCCAAUCAAACAUUUGGCAAACCCUCCCUGUUUGUGAUACCAUUUUUUUUUCAAAACUACCUCACCCAAACAUCCCCUUGCAAUCUUUAAAGAGCAAUAAUAAUUUCUCGAUCUACUCAAACAAACAGUGCAUCGUCCUUGAUUGUAUUCAUGCUACGGCAACCGAUCACACAUACAAACAAAUCAGAUGACAAUAUGUUUGCUAAAAAUGAGCAGGAAAAGAGAGAGAUGAUCGUUCGUGACAGGCUGAUAUGUGCGUAACAGCGGGAAUAUGUGCAGUUUGCUAGCUGGCCAGCUACGUUCUCUGAAAUCACUUGAAGCAUUUACGUACUGGCACGGUCUAAAGAGGAAUGAAAUGAAUGUUCUCAUUCAGUUUAGCCUUCCAGUUUGCUUGAUAGGUUAGUUGGCACCCGAAUUAGGGACGACCAAUGCGGUGUGUCACACAUAUAGAAAUUCACACGCAUCACGUCACAUGCUAUUCUGAAUUUCUGAUAGCCAAAUUGCCAGCCGGCCGGCCAACGGUGUAAUCCCCAGUGGCAGUCUGGCAGACAUUAACAUAGACUCCCAACUCCAGCCGGCGCACAAUGUGUUCCGUCGAGUAAAACAACGAAACUUCCGAACCCAACGCAUCACCUAUACUUCUCUAGUAUUAAGGUCUCUGGCACGUACUGCACUCCACGUCUGCACCGACGCCGGCGAGCAUUCGAUCCAGCGACCUACGGGACGCGAGCUCUCCGGCCUCAGCUCCGGUCGUAGACGAAGACGAUGUCGUCUGAGGACGACGACCGGCGACCGCGGCAGCAACGGCUGCUCCCCGUCCCGAUCAUCCCCUUCGUCCUCUUCCUCGUCGCACCGUUCGCCCUCUUCAUGCUCACGUCGCCCGACCUGCAGUGGCAGCUCCCACGCAUCCGCAUCGAGUACGACGACGACGAGCCCUCCAGCGCGCCCACGCACGAGCGCACUUCGUCGACGCCACCAAGGUCUCCGGUUCUUGCCGGUGCCAAAAGCGACGAAGAGCAACGGCGGCUCCCGCUGCCGCCGCCGCGCCAGCUGACUGACCCGCCGUACACGCUCGGCGCAGCCGUGUCGGACUACGACGCGCGCAGGGCCAGGUGGCUCCACGACAACCCGCGGUUCCCGGCCUUCGUCGCGCCGGGGAGGCCCCGGGUGCUCGUGGUCACCGGGUCGUCGCCGCGCCGGUGCGGGAACGCGGACGGCGACCACGUCCUCCUCCGCGCGUUCAAGAACAAGGUGGACUACUGCCGCGUCCACGGCUUCGACGUCUUCUACAGCAACGCCGUGCUCGACGCCGAGCUGUCGGGGUUCUGGACCAAGCUGCCCAUCCUGCGCGCGCUGAUGCUCGCGCACCCAGAGACGGAGCUCCUGUGGUGGGUGGACUCCGACGUCGUGUUCACCGACAUGCUGUUCGAGCCGCCGUGGGGGAAAUACGCGGGCCACAACCUCGUCGUUCCGGGCUGGGACGACAAGGUGUACGCCGCCAAGAGCUGGCUCGGCAUCAACGCCGGCAGCUUCAUCAUCCGCAACUGCCAGUGGUCGCUCGACCUGCUCGACGCGUGGGCGCGGAUGGGGCCGCGCGGCCCCGUGCGGUACGAGUACGGGAAGGUCCUCGGCAAGGCGCUGUCGGACCGGCCGUCGUACGAGGCCGACGACCAGUCGGCGCUCGUCUACCUGCUCGUCACGGAGCGCGGCAGGUGGGGCGACAAGACGUUCCUGGAGGGCUCGUACAGUCUGCACGGCUUCUGGCUGGCGAUCGUGGACAGAUACGAAGACAUGCGGCGGGACGCGACGGCGACGCCGGGGGGCGGCGGUGGCGAGCGGUGGCCGCUGGUGACGCACUUCGUCGGGUGCAAGCCGUGCGGGGGGCAGUACGCGAGCUACGAGGCAUCGCGGUGCCGGCGCGGCAUGGAGCGCGCGCUCAACUUCGCCGACGACCAGAUUCUGAGGCUGUACGGGUUCGAGCACGAGUCGCUCAACACCACCGCCGUGCGGCGCGUGCGGAACGAUACCGGAGGACCGCUGGACGCGGACGACGUGGAGAUCGGCCGGCUCUUGCACCCGACGUUCAGGGCGGCUAGGCCCUGGUGAUUCGUGAAGUACAUUGCAGGUUUUGCAUUGGUUAAUUUAAUUUGGAGAUUCUGCGGCCUCGAUGUCAAUGUGGUAAGAGGGGUGUAACAUGCGCGUCUUUUAUAGGAUUAUUACACAAAAAUUCAUUUCUUAAAGGAUGACCUGAUUCUCAUUGUGCCCAAAAUUCAUUUCUUUACUGAUGACUGGAUUGUUCCCAAUUGUGUUUUAUAAGCAAUAACCACUGAAUUGCAUCAGAAGUAGUUUUGGGUAAACACAGGUAUUAGUCAUCACUGCUCUACUAUGGUGUAUAUGUCUUGUAGAGGGGGGUGGGGGGGUUAGGGGUAUUUGCAGUCCUUGUAUAUUAACAACCAUUGUUAGUCUUGUUAUUGGUCAUGUUGUCACACAAUGGCAGCUUGCAGCAGGAUGAUAGCAGGGAGUGAUACUAUGAUAGUGUAAGAGCAACUUUAGUAGGGCCUUUACUUGAGCCUCAAUAGCUGAAUAUGGGUGUCCAACUCAAAAUUCAAAUCCAGCAGGGCCUCUACUAUGGAUCCCAAAAUUAUUGGGCCAACAAAAUCCUCCCACCAGUCCUAAUUCCUAUUGGCUCUUGACCCAGCCCUCAAAAUUCCCCCGACAGGUCCCCACCCGUGCAACCACUGCCCCGGCGCCGUCUCCUCCUCGACACCGACCCUCCCUCGGCAUGGCCUUCUCCUUGGCGCAGCCCUUGCCUAGCGAGAGCUCGUUCCGGCCGUGGCGCAAGCUUGUCCCUCUGACGAGUGCCUCCCUCCAACAAGCACGGGAGCCAUGGUGAGUACGACGAGCACGGGAGCCAUAGCCACACCCAUAGAGAGAGAGAGGAUGAGGUAAAGAAAGGCUUAACUCAAUGACGUGUGGUCUCUCGCAUGUCAUUGUAUAUUGAUAUGGAUUUUAGAGGCUUUUGUUUAGGAGCUGCUGCUAGAGUGGAAGAAAUUUAUUGGGUCAACAAAAAAAUAGGAGAGAGCACUCAAAUCCAAAGGAGGGCGCCUGAUUUGGGGCUACUGACAAAUGACCACUACGGGGCCUGACGCACAAUACGGUCUACUUCACCAGUUCACCUUCGUGGAUCCUUAUCUUAUUUACACCAUUCUGAAUUUCUGAUUGUAUUGGUUGUUCCAUAUUUCCCACUCGGUCUGUUUGAACAAACACAUGUAAGGUCUUGUUUGGAUGUAGUCGGAUUCGCAUCAAUCCACAUGUGUUGGAGUGGAUUGGAGUGAAAUUUAAACUAAAUUCCACCACAAUCCACUCCAACACAUGUGGAUUGAGGUGAAUCCGACAACAUCCAAACAAAGCCUAAAUAUGUAAUCACGCCUGUAAGCUCAGAAGCUCUACGUGUUGGCUAACCAUCAAGGCAUCAAUAGAAGAAGCAGAUUACUAGCUAGGUGGCAGUCUGGUCAGCAUGGCCAUUUGGAUUUUGGAUCACGUGAGAUCGGUAGCUCCUCGCCGCGCAAUGAUGGGUAGGAAGGAACGCAAGGAGCCUAUGGUCCUGUUUGGCAAAACUAACUAGUAACUAGGAUUAGGGGAACUUUUUAUGACUUAAGUUAUGGCUUUUCUAGCGGACAUGCAGUUCGGUAAAAUUUUGGUUAUGGCUUCGGCAAGCAGGGUCAAUAGAGGAGCGGGUAGGAGCUAUUUUAUUUUUCUUGCUCCCGCUUCAAGAUUUCCAGUGCAAAAAGCGACUCCAGCUCUAUGGGUGCUUCACGCGGGAAGCCGUUUUGCUGUUGACCGUUUGGUGAAGCUUCUGGAGAUCUUGAAGCUUGUUUUUCUAACUAUAAGCUGAAGCCGAAUUCGAAACACUACAAAAGGGCCAGAGUGUAGCAAGUACCGUAACAGACAAAUGACCACUACAGGUGUGACGCACAAUGAACGAACUGAGAAGGAAAAAGUCCACUUUUCCUUCUUCAACUUUUGUAAAAAUUUGAUUUUCUUUUCUAAACUCUAAAACUGGACAAACCAUUUCUCUCAAAUUUUAAAACCUUGUGUUUUACAUCAUUGUUGGUUCUAAAAGCAGUUUUGUCUUUUCUUUUAUUUAUUUCAGCUGAAUUUUUAAAAAAUCUUAGUAAAUAAAAAAACAUAAAAUAGAAAAUCUAAUUUUGUUGGACUCUACAUGAGUAGUCUACGUAGUGAACACACAAUAUGGUAUACUUUACUAUAAACUUUUUGUUGUAGAUUUUUGAUCUAUUUUUUCUAUAAUUAUUUAGAAUAAUUCACAACAUCAGUUUCUAUGGUUUAAUUGUGGUAGAAUUUUUUAUGGUUGCCUAAUUAUUCUAUGUUUGAACUAUAGUAUAAAUCAUACUUAUUGAAUAACGUAUAACUUAGUUAUAGUAUUAUUUGGAUUUAACAAGCAUAAGCCCAAUAAUUUUAUAACUAAGAUAAAAUUUUUACUACAGUUUAAUCAUAUAAUAAUUAGGCCACAAUAAAAUUUUUUACCACAAUUGAACUAUAAAAAUUAUAGUUAUGAGUUUUUUCUAAUUUUUCUAAUUAAUUAUAAAAAAUAAUAGUUCAAAAUAUACAACAAAAACAUUAUACUAAAGCAUACUAUAUUAUAUAUUUAUUGUAUAGAUCUACUUAUAUGGAGUCUAACAAAAUUGGAUUUUCUAUUUUUAUAAUUUUAUGAUUUACUAUGAUUUUCAAAAUUUCAGCCAAAAUAAAUAAAAAAAGAAAAAGACAAAACCGUCUUCAAAAUCACUUAUAGCCGAUUCAAGGAAAUAAAACACAUAGUUUAAUAGAGCAUCUCCAACAGCCUUUCUAAAUUUCACUCUCUAAAUCAUCAUUUGGAGAGCCAUUUGCAUAAAAAUCGCUUUCUAUAUUUUUUACUUUCCAACAGUUUUGCUAAGUCUCAUGCGCACUCUAGAGAGUCAUUGUCGUCUUCUAUAUUUGGCUAGCGAAAAACCCGGAAUAGACAAUAGCUAUAUUUGGAUGACCAUUUAGAGAAGCUAUUGGAGGGUAGUUUUUCAUCAAAACUGUUAUUCCUAGCAUUUAGAAAGAAUAUACAAAGUUUCUUGAAGAUGCUCUGGUUAAAGAAGGUAGUUUAUACGGUUUUAAAGUCCAGGAAGGAAAAGCGGUGUAAAAGUUGAUGGAGAAAAAAUAGGCUUUUUUCAAUUGAGAAUUCACAUGAACGCCGAACGCGGCCCUCACCAGUUCACCUAUCUGGGCCGAGAUAUCAGGCACCACGUCGCCACCAAAUAACGGGCUUUUCCUAGAGACUCAGGAACAGGGACCUCGGCCCAAUCUUGAUGGGGAUUUUUUCAUGAAAAAAGUCCAAUUUACCUCCCACAGCUAUUGCGGUCAUUUGAUUUUUCUCAUUGAUAUACAAAACCACAUUAUUAACCUCCCACGAGUUUCGAAAACCAUUUAACUUUGCACCUUGAGCGGUCUUGAGAGUGGUUCUGCUGAUGUGGCGCCACGUCAAAUAAAGUAAAUUGGACUAAGUUAAAAAUUAAAGGAGGUAAUCGGACUAGAAAUAUAUUUUAUAAAAAACAUCUAAAAUUUUACUUUAAAUAUAAAAAUUAUCAAAAAAUAUUUUAUAUGAAAAAUAAUAUAAUUAGAAUCAUGCUCUUACAUUAUCUUUCCUUGUAAAAAUAAGUUUGAAUAACUUUUUGAAUUUUUUAAACAAUUUUUAGAUAUUAUUUUAAAAAAGUAUUCCUAGUCUGAUCUACCUCCUUGAACUUUCAACUUAGUUUGAUUUACCCCUCUGACGUGGUGCCACAUCAGCAAAACCACUAUCAAAGCCUAGGAUUGCCAUCCCUAGUUAUGAACCAUACAUUUUUGCCCCCUAGUUUGUGCAAAGAGCUAAAUACUCUAUGGGUAAAUGAGUUAAUUGAUCCUGAUACUUGCUCUUGGAAACGUGACACCGAGUAGUCCGACUUCAAGAUGCCAACGGAUAGCCGAAACCUAAGUACCCGACGAGUUUUACCCGAUAAAAAAGCGGGUAUAGAAUGAUUUUUCUACCCAUAGGUAUACUAUUGGGCAAAAUCCUAUACCCAUCGGGUAUGAUGGGUACAGGUGUAGGUGUAUACUACCCAUACCCGUCUACCCGCGGGUAAAAAACACCCGUCAAAAUAGCUAGCCGCUCUUGUCAUUCUAGCCCAUCUAACCUAUGAAUUUGGCUCAAAUCCAACUAAAGUCUCCUAGUAUAUAUAUAUAAAUUUGAUGUCAUUAUAUGAAUGUUAGUCUGUAACUUAUUGGAGGCUUGAAAUGAUUAUUUUUUGCAUGUGAAUAUGUGACAUUUAUAUAUAAUUCUUGGGGUAUAUUGUCGGGUACGGGUUACUCGUCGGAUAAAAUUUACCCGCACGGAUGCGGGUAAGGGAGUAUUUUUCUACCCGUGUGCAGGUACGAGUAACCCGACUCCCACUGCUAGUAGUUUCUAUCUAUAAAAAAUAUUCUAAGAAACUGAAUACCUUUGAAUUCUUUAUUUAGGAAUUGAGAUGUCCGUACCUUAAGAUACAAAAUGUAGAACGAGAGGUGAGAGUAGACCUUAUAGAUACAAAAACAGGAUGAUAUGAUGUGUUGCUGGGCUUGGAAUGGUUGACUAUGCAUCAUGCUAUGAUUGAUUAUAUAUCCACGCAAGAUGACAUUCCAUAAAGGCAUAGUGGGUCUCACGGUUGAAAACGAGUCUAUAGCCUCAACGCAAAAUAUAUACUCCCUUCGUCUUAAAAAAUAUAAUUCUAGCAAAAUGUCAUACUUUUAGUACCAAUUAUAUAUGGUACUAAAGGAAUAUUAUUAAAUUAAUUAUAAAAAAUAUUUUUAUAAUAAAUUAAUUUAGAGCCAUAAAUAUGAAUAUUAUACAGUAGAAACUUAAUCAAACGCAAACCAUUCAAUAUGGUACGUAACCUAUAGUUAUAUUCUUUUGGGGAUAGAGGUAGCUGAUAGUUUGAUCAAGUUUCUACUGCAUUCAAGUAAUUACGUGGUACAUCGAACAAAAUAAUAUAACUAUGGGUUACGUACCACACGUCGAACCAAAGCCAUAAUUAUGCAUUCCUCGAGCACAACCCAUCCUAAAUUGUGCAGCAAGCGUUGCACCUAGAAAUUUGCUCUCUCUUUGAGUGCCAGUGGGAAAACAAUCCCUGCUUCGUAAACUAAUUCCAUUAAAAAAAGAUGGCAACGAAUCAACUAAUUCCAUUUCAUAAACUACAUAAAACAAAAGUAGAUAAAGUGUGAGAAGACGACGACAGAGGACUCAAUUUCUCAAACUAAACAUCUCUAACUAUAUAUGGAAGGAACCUUGAUUUUAUAGAAAUUCUAAGGUAAAGGUUUGACGUAUCACGGUUGAAGAACACUAUUGAAAAUACUGGACAGACCGUUUCCCAAAGUAUGAGGUCCCAAAUCUCGAUGCCUCCUAGGAUUAUGGGGCAUUUCAUUGCCCAUGUGUAUCGGCUUUAGAACCUGUGCGGGGUUCAAAUUUCCUCAAACUGUGAAGGUUGACGUGCCGGCAUCUCGUAAUGCAGCAAUCAGAUUCAGGCGAGGCGAAUGGGGCCAUUGCGGUCAAUGGGCCUUGUUGGAGCCCGUUAAGCAUUAUAGACUAUAUUUCUUCGUGUUUUUUUUUUUUUUUUUUGUUCCUCAAAAAUAUACUUCAGUUCACUCUGGCUUUGUUCAACGCUUAAGGAAGUUAGAAAUUUAUUCACAUACUAGUACCAGCGCUGGGUAAAUGAAGCGUGCAUUAUAAUCCGACGACCGCAGACUUCGAAACUGCAGGUGACGACGUUGCUAGAUCUCCAUCACUACUUACAGUGUACGUGCAGGCGUGCAGCGUCAAACCAGCCGAAAAAGGUUCGGUGCAGCUCCUUCCAUUCCAUCGUCGACGAUGACGACGGAGCAACCCGUCACGGCCGACCGACGAGCUCGGCAGCAUCGUCUGCUCCCCCUUCUGGUCCUCCCCGUCUUCUUCCUCGUCGCGCCGUGCGCUCUCUUCUUCUUCAGAUCGUCCGACUUGGCCCUCAUCCCCCGCAUCCGCAUCGAGUUCGACCGCCCACCUAAAAAUGAGCCGCCGCCAGCAGAGCCAGUGCCACUGACGUCGCCACCACCACCACCGCCUCCGGCUCCGGGUGCGAACGAUGACGAGGAGCAACGACGGCUACCGCCUCCGCGCCAGCUGACGGACCCACCGUACUCGCUCGGCCCGACCGCCGACUACGACGCGCGCAGGGCCCAGUGGCUCCGCGACAACCCGCGGUUCCCGGCCUUCGUCGCGCCGGGGAGGCCCCGGGUGCUCGUGGUCACCGGGUCGUCGCCGCGCCGGUGCAGCGACCCGGACGGCGAGCACUUGCUGCUCCGGGCGUUCAAGAACAAGGCGGACUACUGCCGCGUCCACGGCUUCGACAUCUUCUACAGCACCGCGGUGCUCGACGCCGAGCUGCCGGGGUUCUGGUCCAAGCUGCCGCUGCUGCGGACGCUGAUGCUGGCGCACCCGGAGGCGGAGCUCCUGUGGUGGGUGGACUCCGACGUGAUCUUCACCGACAUGCUCUUCGAGCCGCCGUGGGACAAGUACGCCGGCCACAACCUCGUGCUCCCGGGCUCGGAGGAGAAGGUGUACACCGCCAAGAGCUGGAUCGGCAUCAACGCCGGCAGCUUCAUCAUCCGCAACUGCCAGUGGUCGCUGGACCUGCUCGACGCGCUUGCCCGGAUGGGGCCGCGCGGCCCCGUGCGCGAGAUGUACGGCAGGGUCAUCGCCGGGACGCUCUCCGACCGGCAGCCGUACGAGGCCUGCGACCAGUCGGCGCUCGUCUACCUGCUCGUGACGGAGCGGCGCAGGUGGGGCGACAAGACGUUCCUCGAGAGCUCCUACUGCCUCAGCGGCUUCUGGGUCUACAUCGUGGACAAGCUCGAGGAGAUGCGGCGGCGGGAUUCGACGACGACCCCGCCGGAGCCCGGCCACGAACGGUGGCCGCUGACGACGCACUUCAUGGGGUGCAAGCCGUGCGGCGGGGACGACUCCACCUACGACGCCGCCUGGUGCCGGCGCUCGAUGGAGCGUGCUCUCAACUUCGGCGACGACCAGAUACUCAACCUUUACGGGUUCGAGCACAAGACGCUCAACACCACCGCCGUGCGGCGCGUCCGGAACGACACUGGCGGGCCGCUGGACGCGGCCGACGAGGAGCUCGGACGGCUCUUGCAUCCCACGUUCAGGGCUGCCAACUUGUGACAACUAAAGUAGUAGGAAUUUGUUUGUUUUUUUUACGCAGAAAUUUGUUUUUCGUCGGCAAAAUCACGAAAAGUUGCAACUCUCGCUCCGUCCCAAAGAAGAGUAUCAUUUUAGAUUUUCUUAUACUAUAUAUAAGUUUGACUCGAUUUGUAAAAAAAUACGUACAAUAUUUAUAUAUCUAAAUAAAUUUGUUAAAAAAUUAAACUUAAAGAUGUUUUCAAUGAUACUAAUUAUGUACUAUAAAUAUUAAUAUUUUGUAGUAUAUAUUUAGUUAAAGUUAUUUUUUAGGAAACGCAAACGAUAUUUAUUUUAGGACGAAGGAAGUAUGUUAUAAUGAGUUUAGCAUGCCUACGAUCGAAUGGUAGCAAGAUAGAAGCUCGAGUCUUUUCCUUUCCAUGUAUCUCUGUAAGGUGAAGUGUGGCCUUAUAUAGUACUUAUAAAAGCGUAAAAUGUGUGUUUUUUCACUUACUAAUACUGGAGACCGGAACAUUGAACAUUCUUUAUAAUCUAAAAAAACUAGUAAGUUAUACUUAUUCCUAGAGGGUUGGUGAGUGAUGGGGUUUUGGGGUGAAGGGUGGGGGGCUAAUGUUGAGUUAUUGAUUGAGAAAACAAAAAUUGCUCACCAUAUUUCACAAAUCGCAUAGAAAGGGCCAACUCCUUAUUUCCCAUUGCAAAAUUUUACAAUCCGUUACUGUCAUCGAUGUCACAAUAAAUCAUGGGGUCCAUGUAUGUCACUAACCACGACAACUAAGCGAUUAGUCGAAUUGUCUGACAGUUCUGCCCAAAAUAUAACCUACUACUACUAGUUCAUUCAAAACGUUUUGAUUUUUUCUAAACAUAGUGUAUAUCUAAGCUCAUAGUAAAAGCUAUGUGUCAAAAUGUCUUAUAAUUUAGAAUGGAUUGAGUAUUAGACAGUUUGACAUUACACCAAUAGUGGUAAUCCUUUUCAAUUUCCCGGCACAAAAUUAGGAAAAAGCGAAACAAGCAUACUGCAACAACGAACUGGAGAAAAAUAAUCAAUUAACCACCUCAGCUUAAUUGGGUCUAACACUGUCAGUCACUACAGUCAAGUAGAGCUACUGUAGAUAACUACGGAUGGCUGUUUAUACAUCCAUCACAAACGGUAGCGGUAGUACAGGAAAAACUAACCGCAUCUCGACUAUCUAGCAAAUAUUUUCAUUGUAUUGCCUUGUCUAUUACGUUAACUACAUGUUACACUAUAACAUUUAUCCUGUGUAACUAACUCUGAUUUUUGCACUUGCAGCCUUCUACUAUCCCGUACCUUAAAUUUUGUGUUCGCUAAAACAAAAGACAGGAGCAGCACAUCCAGUGUCUCAGUUGAUUUGUUUCUCAGCCAAGUGACUUGGCAGGUAGCUCAUGAAAAAUGGCCGAGCAUGAUUUUUUAUGUUCAGGUACUUACAUCAGCUUCAUCCAGUGAUGAAGACAAAUAAUUCAAGAUGAAAUCAUCUAUGUCUCCUUCUAGGACUGAAUCGGGGUCAGAUACUUCAUAGUUCGUCCGGAGAUCUUUGACCAUACGGUAUGGCUGACAAAAUGCAAUAAGAACAAUUAUUUGCUAAUAUAUGUUGACACUAUACAGGGAUGCUCAUUAGAAAGGUUACAAGAGAAAAAAUAAUUUGUCUAGAAAGAUUUAUGUUCUCCUUUUUCAAAACUUCAUUAGCUAGAAAGAAUAUGACAGAAAAUUUAGAUAAAAACAUGUAAUUAGUGUAUCCAUAAUGGACCAGAAAGUACUCAUUAGUUUGCAGCUUCUUUGGUAUUCUAAAUGGAAAGCUUACAUGGAUAAUGGAUCAGAAAAUUUAGAUAAAAAUCCUGAGGUGAGUAUGUAAACAAAACAGAAAUAAGAAGAUUAACACCAUAGACUACUAGUUUAAGGGGAACACCACGAACACAGAUAAUGCUACUGAGAGGAGUUUUAUCAUAACUAGAGUUGAUAGUUUAAUUUGGUAUUCUAAAUUGAAAGCUUACAUGGAGAACAUAAGAUCUUAUUUGGUUGCCCCAGCUGAUUUCAUUGAGUGAUUGUGUGUGCUCUGCAUUCAUCUGUGCUUGGCGAGCAAUCUCAAGCUGAUCAAGACGAGAUUGGAGCACUGCCAUUGCUGAUGCCUUGUUCAUGUGCUGUGAUCUGCAUUUCUCAAUCAGGAGUACAGCGCUUUAACAUUAAUGUUUAUAAACAUUCAACGAUAGAACUAUUUCUGAUUGAUAACACCCAUCGUUUAAGGGGAAACAGAUAUUUCAACUUAUGCUCAAUGGAUCAAAAAUUCCAUAUCCAUACGAGAAACGAAUAAACUUGUGAAAUACUCCAUCCAUUCUAAAUUAUAAGACGUUUUGGAUUUUCUAUAUACUCCCUCCGUAUAGGAUUUAGAAGUCGUUUAGGACAGUGACACGGUCUCCAAAACACAACUUUGACCUCUUAUUUUUAUAAAAAUAUUUAGAAAAAAAUGAUAUAUGUAUACUUUUAUGAAAGUAUUUUUCAAGAUAAAUCUAUUCAUAUAAUUUUCACAUUUGUAAACUCAACAAUUUAAAAGUUAUUGAUAAUUUAUAUUGCAAUGUUUGACCCAAACCUUGUCCAAAACGACUUCUAAAUCCUAUACGGAGGGAGUACAUUGUUUUUCCUAUGUAUGUAGACAAGUGUAUGUGUAGUGCAUAGCAAAUAGCUAUGCAUCUAGAAAAGCCAAAAUGUCUUAUAAUUUGAAAUGGAGGGAGUACAAAGGAGAAGACAUCAAAUUUACCUUUCAUUUUGACAUGUUGCACUUAUACCAGUUGGGAUGUGCACAAUUCGAAUGGCACUCUCUGUAGUGUUGGCAUGCUGACCACCAGGGCCACCAGAACGGAAACGUUCUAUCCUAAGAUCAGAAUCUUUGAUCUGGUAUCGGCUAGCAGCAUCCCCAAGAAUAGGUAUUACAGCAACAGCUGCAAAGGAAGUGUGCCGUCGCUUUCCACUGUCAAAUGGAGAAAUUCGCACCAAUCUAUGAACUCCUACUUCAGCUUUGGCAUAUCCAAAUGCAUAUUCACCAUCAACUUUGAUAGUGGCCCUCUGGAAAUAGCAGCUGUUUAAGAUCAGUUCCUUUUUUCGAAAUAAUACUCAAAUUAGAAAAUAAUUCCUUCAGAUGGAAUAGAUAGCAAAAGCCUGUACGUUCAGCAACACAUACUAGUGAGAAAGAUAACCUUGAUUCCUGCUACUUCACCAGGCAUCUCUUCUACCACAGUGACUGUAUAUCCUCGUCGCUGGGCCCAUGACCUAUACAUGUUCAUGACCAUUGCAGCCCAGUCCAUACUCUCGGUGCCACCAGCCCCUGCCUGAACCUGAAACCAUCAUCAUAAGGAAUCACCCACUGAAAACCUCGCUAGGAAAGCAUAAGAUGAGCAUUAGCGCUUCAACAACAAGUGCUCUAGAUGGAGCAGCAAGCUGAAAAUUUCUUGCAAGCAUAAUGAAAUUAAGGGAGUAAGAUGGUACUCAAAGUAAACCUCAAUGAAGCAAGGACAAGAGUCAUUGUCUCCAGAAAGUAACGCAUUAAGUUCUUUCUCCUUUGCACUUCUUCUCAUAUCGGCUAAAGCCCUCAUGCUUUCCUGCACAGAACAGUUAAAAUAACAGCUGAAACAGAUAGAUGGUCUGUACUGUAUUUCAAGCUUUAUAUCAUGUAAUGAGCACUGUACUCACCAUCUCAAGUUCAUUAUCGUUUUCUUCACGUGCAAGCCGUAGCAUCUCAAUGUGUUCAAUCAAUUCCUGCUCAAACUGGUUCACUGACUUAAUCUUGCCCAUGAGCUCACCCUGCUCACGGCUAACCCUCCCAGCAAAAACUGGAUCUUCCCAGAGGUCUGGCCUCUCCAACACCACAGCCAAUUGCUUCGUUCUCUCAAGUAUCCAUCCCCACUGAACAGAUCAGAACAAUGCCCAAUUCAAACAAGAUAAAAAUGAGCAUAAACACACUCUGCACAUAAGGUGUUCGCUCAAAUGCCUGAAUGAAUCAAGAACAUAAGAUGCACAUCCUUGCGCAACAAUAGCGGGCAAUUCGGCAAUCUAACCAACGGAAAAGCACAAACUAUCGGGUGUCAUGCGAAUAUUGGACCUUGAGGCGCUUCUUGAUGAGCUUGACGGACUGCGCGACGGCGGCGGCGUGGCUGCGCCAGUCGCUGUCGGCUUCGGGAAGGAUGGUCCACCCCUUGUCGGCGAUCGAAUCUACCGUCAGGCCGUCAGCGGUCAUCGGAGCCUCCGCCAACGCCUCCGUGGACGGAGAGGAGAACCACCGCACCGGAACGCGGAGGAGCGUGGAGUCGGCGGCGUGGGGGAGGCCAUCAGUGGGCCCCAGGAGGGACGCCAAGGCGGCGGCGUGGGAGAGGGGGCGGUGAGCAGUGCGUAGCGUCUUGCGGUGGAGGCGGGAGACGAGGCGCGCCGCCGCUGAUCUGGUUAAGAGGCGGGAAGCCAUUUUCGUGGGACUCGAUGUUUCGACCGGUCCGCGCCGGCGAGGGGAAGGCUCGGGAACGGCAAGGCUACUGAUAGUCGAAAAUACGCUUCGAUGCUUGGAAGGCGUAUAAUGAAGAGCGUGCUUUGAUGCUCCGUCGGAAGGAUGCUGCAUUCAGGGUUUUUUUUCUUUUCCCCCUUCUUUUGAGGCAUGAUUACCAACGUAUAAAACCGUUACCGCUAACGUCACAUUUGUAACUUUUUUCGAAAGGAGGCAAAAAAAAAUUUACUAGAUGGAGAAAAGAGAAAAAACAGGUACAAAAACAGACACAAUUUGUAACUGAAGUUCAAUUGCCGAAGCAACGGAUGCCUCGGUGAGGCGGUGAUGCUUUUGUGAUGACAAUGCAAGAUCGUCCAGUGAUACCCGUUAACGGCUAACGUUACCGCCCUGUUCGCUUGAGCAUACGAUAAUAUUUUUCUCACACAACAAAUCAAGCAGCAAACUUAGAACAUAAUUUGUAACUGAAGUUCAAUUACACGAUAGUACCAGCAGCUCAAAGCAUGAAUACAACGUCCCAAGUUAUCGUACACAAGGGCCUAGUGAAGCAUAACAAUGCGCGACAUGCGAGGGUGACGGUGCCCCCAAACGAUUUUAGGGGACAGGACUAGUCGGCGAUCCUCUGAAUCGAGCGCCGGCACAGCACGGCUGCGGCUUCCGGGCGGCUCAGAGUAUGCCGGAGAGCACGUUGGCGGCCGUGGAGAGCGCGGCGCCGGUGAUGGCGCACUGCACGACCUGCUCGUGCGACGCGUGCUCCGACGUGAGCGCGACCGCGGCGCCCGUGAUGGCGCCGGCCACGGCGCUGUUCCUCCAGUCGUGCGCCCCGCGCACCUCCGUGAGGCCGUAGGUCAGGCCAGAGUGCACCCCAGCCGCGAGCCCUGCACAAGACGUCCUGAUCAGAUCGAGCAGUGGGUAGUUAAAAAAAAAAUUGCUCGUCAGAUAGUUCGUGCUCAUGCUGUAUGUAUGUAUGUAUGUAACACAGGGGGUGUAGCAGGAGUAUAGGAAGUGUUACCCCACUGUAACGACUCUUUGCUCACGUUUUUCACCUGUGAUGGAAAUGAAGAACAGAAUCACAAACAACAAUUACAGCAAGGCACGGCCGGCCUGAACAAGAACUGGGUUAAUUCUGUAGCAGAUGGCGUACCAUGGCCUCUGCCGACUUGCUACUACUGUUCGUCCCUGUCAAAAUCGCCAACACAAGAUUAACGCUCACUUGUUCACACAAGGUUAGACAGAUAAGCAGCAAACUAAAAAAAUCAGAGACGUUACCAUUGAGCUCCGGGAACGAGCGUUUCCUUGAGCCGGUGGCGCCUGACACAGAUCCUCCCUCGCCUGCAGUCAGUGUCAGUCACAGGCUCACAACAACACACCGCACAAAAGAACUCAAAAAGGGACACAAACAGAGCGAAAUUGAAGCAAUCGAACAGCUAAUAGCAGCAGCAGCAGCACCACCACCACCACGACAAGGAGGUUUUGUUACCUUCGAUUGCCAUGAAGUACGAUUCCCUCGCGACCGCCUGCACCGCGCCGAUCUGCGGAGAUACACGGGAUCAGAAGAAGCAGUGGAACCGACCGACUUGUUGAGCCUGUUUGUGUGCCAAGGAAAUAAAAGGGAGCAGCAGAGGCCAGCGGGCAGCGGCGUGUGCUUACCCCCGCGGCCUUGACGAAGCUCUCGGCGAUGCGGUUGAGGAGCGGGUGGCCGAGGUCCAGCAUCCAGUUCUUCUGCUCCAGGCCGCCGCGCACCUCGUCCGCGAACGCCCGCGCCUGCGUCCCCACGCCGCUGCUCAUCUUCCCCUGCCCUGCUCUUCCUUCGGUUCCCCCUCUUGUCUCUCUUUGAAGAUAUCCGAGCUACCGCGCUGCAGCAGAGUGCCCAGGUAGGUAGACAAGCACGAAUGCAAAGGGCACCGGCUUUACGGGCAGUGUGGUCGCGUCGAAGCGGUGAAGUUUUUGGCGAGUAGUGACCCGGGGCGGCGCCGGUCCGUACAAUACAGACCAACGUCCUACUGGUCCUUGGCCUCCUGGGGGGAGAACUGGAAGACACGUACGCAUGCUUCGCCGACACGUGCCCGCGGGGUUGUUUACUCGUGGCACUCUUCUGGAACGUGCGCGGCGUGGUUCUUUGACAUUUGCUGAAAUCCGUGCGCUGGCCUCGUUCGCGGCUUCCAACACACUGACACACUUUGCUUGUCGAUAGGCAUACACAGAAAACAUACGUUUUGGAAAUGAUUACACGGUAGCUAAAAAGUGAUUAAUUAGAAAUAUUUUUUCUACCUUUAUUAAAUAGGAUUGUUGGUGCACUAUAAGGCCUUGUUUAGUUAAAAAAAUUGUAAAAUUUUUUAGAUUCUCUGUUACAUCGAAUCUUUAGCCGUAUCUAUGGAGUAUUAAAUAUAGACAAAAAUAAAAAACUAAUUACAUAAUUUAGUCGGAAUGGACGAGACGAUUCUUUUAAACCUAGUUAAUUUAUUGAUUGGAUAAAAUAUUUAUCAAAUACAGACAAAAAUACUAUAGCAUCGAUCUCCUAAAAUUUUUUGGAACGCCUAAGUAAGAAAGUUCCGUAGUAGAGAUGGCUAAUACAUUGAGGCGUUGGAACGUCAAGUUUUUUGAUUUCGCGUUAGGAGCUCAGGACAUCGUAGUUUUUUUUAAUACAGAGGAAGUACAGCCGUACGCACCGUAGAUUGUUCAUUCUGAUCCAAAUACACUUCAAAAUCACCUUUGAUCAUCAAACAUAAAAGUUAUGUCUUUUUCAGAGGAAAAAACAGUUGUGACUACUAUUAUUGUGCCUUAUUCAAGUAAACUGUUGUUACUAGUAUUACUCUCCAUGAUUAAGGAGGUGUUUAGUUCUCUUUUCAUUUCAGAAAAAAUUGGGUUUUAGUCCAUUAUUUUGUAUAAUAAAAAUAAACAAUAUAUAAAAAAUUUGGCAAAAAAAUAACUAUUCUCCAUUUUAAAUUUUGGCAGACAAAAAAAAAACUCAAAAGACCAUAAUGGGAGCAAUAAAUUCUGUAUUUUAGAUAGAACUAAACACAACUCUAAAAUUUGACAUUUUAUAUUUUAUCACUUCAAAAUAGUUGGCAUUUUGCAUUGUAAGGGGGAACUAAACAUGCCCUAAGUGAAGUUAAUUCCUGGAUACCACCGAGAAGUUCCAAUUUGGGUAUUGAGUUUGUGACACAUAGAAGGGACUCAAGGUAUCCAUCAUGUUUGCAUCACCCAUUCCAGUUUUCAAAAUGUAUGACAACGAACCGAUAGACAGUAAAAUAAGUUCACGACGUCCACAUACACCUUCAAAAAUCGCAAUCACUAAUUUGCGAGCUUAUUUCUAGGACCGUACCAACCCUUAUGAGCUGAUCCCGAGCUGGAUGCGCCAAUCCUCAAGCUGCUUCUUUACUUGUUCUGAACCAGUAGAGCCAUAGGAUAUGAACUUGUUUACGGCGUUUUCAACCCCCAGGUAUUCAUAGACGUCGCCCUCAAAUACAGGAUGGACAGAUUUUAGGUCAUCCAAUUCAAGCUCGGCUAGCUGACACUGCUUGUAGACGCAUAGAGCAACAGACCUUCCAACUAUCUCGUGAGAAGUUCUGAAAGGAAUUCCCUGCGAAGCAUGGAAAAAAGAAAAGCUAAGCUAAUAUAACCCCCCAUCGAAAAUAAACAGCAUAGCACCGAUAAAACUAGAGUACUGUUAGUUUGUGUGUUCCUUUGCUAUCACCAUGUUUCAAAGUUGAUGUCUAACUGCUACGUGCAACUAUGUUAAUAUCUUUCCCUAUGGUUUACACAGUCAUGAGAGAACAGAGUUUACCUUCUUCACAAGAUAAUCCGCCAGCGUCGUUGCAUCCAGAUAACCAGCUGGAAGGGAACUUUGUAUUCUUUUCGAAUUAAAUGAGAUAUUUUGAGCAAACUCCGUGCAUACUUCAAGCAUUCCUAAUACGGCUUUCACACUAUCAAACAAGGGUUCCUUGUCUUCCUGCUUAGGACGAAAAUUUCAGAAUACACACUCAUGUAAGAGUGGAUAUACUUAUGAGAAUUAGGCUCACCUGAAGGUCACGGUUGUAGGCUUGUGGAAGGCCUUUACAGAGGGUUAGAACAGUCAUGAGGUCUCCAACAACUCUAGCAGAUUUCCCACGAACAAGCUCCAUUGGAUCUGGAUUUUUCUUCUGGGGCAUAAUGCUGCUUCCUGUUGAAACUUUGUCACUUGGUGUCAGGAACCCAAAUUCCUCUGAUGCCCAAAGAACCCAUUCUUCACCAAUUCGCGAAAGAUGAACAGCAGCAAUUGAAUUGGCGGCAAGAAACUCUAGUACAAAGUCACGGUCUGAUACUGCAUCAAUGCUGUAGAUGGGAAAACGAGCUUAAGUGAGGAAGAACUAACUGAAAGAGAAAAAUUAAACGAUAUGGCAUUCUCUCAGUUUCUAGCCUGGCUGGUGAGUAACUGAGGGCACGACUGACAGUUCUAGCUAAUUGGCAGACAAUCACAACUCACAAGAAUAUAAUGGCUAUAUACAGUACAAAGUAGUCAAUAAACAAUUCUCAUAUCUGUAUAGUAUUUCUUGACCGAAGAAAUAUGACCAGGUAACAAGGCUUGCAUUUUCAUACAUUCCUUUGGCACGACCAAAUCAAAGUGCAUGGAAAUAUAAAAUUGAGUAUCUAACAUAUUUCAUGUGUGCUUGCAUGUCAAGAUAGAUACUCAUUCCAGCAGAUGCAGAGUAACUAGAGUACUAAAGUUUUAGGUACACAAUUCUGAUCAAAGUUCAAGAAAGUGUUAUAGCACAGAAAGUAAGCUACAACACUUGCCAGCCUUGAAAUGAUAUUACUGAAAGAAAUCAAGAAGUUACCUAUUCUUCAUUGGAGCCGUAAAUUUCAAAUCUUUAGCAGUUUGGAACCUAUCAAUGGGAAGUCCAGUUCCAGCCAAAGCACAAGCACCAAGAGGGCAGAAAUUCACUCGCUCCCUGCAGUUGACCAGCCGACCAGCAUCACGCUCCAACUGCACAUAGUGUACAUCAGAAUAAGGUCAAGCAGUCGUGAGUAACAUGGUUUAUUCGAAAAGAAUGCCAUAAAUCAUCUGGGCUACCAUUAAAACCCUUUCACAGGGACACAAGCAAUAAGUAAACCUUUUUACAGAAUAAAUAAACUGUUAGAAAUGUGACUUUAAUGCUUCAUUACAGGUCAUCUGGGCUACCAUUAAAACACUUUUACAGAUUAAAUAAACUGUUAGAAAUGUGACUUUAAUGCUUCGUUACAGGUCAGGCUAAAAUGGUGAACAGAGCUAGUGGUUCAGGCAUUCAGCAGCUCAAAGAUUGUAAAAGAUAAAGCACCUAAUUAUGGCCCCGUUUAUUUAUAUUCCGAACUCCGAAGUUAAGAACUUUGCGUAUUAGGUGUAUGUAUGAUCUGGACUGCACCAAUGGGAGGACUUGAAAUUGUGUAAAAUCACUUAUGAACAUAAUUGAACUUUUUUUGUUGCAUUGGAUAUGUCAGCGUACCAAACUGACAGUUUGAACACAGAAUGUUCUCUUUUCUGUGCAAAAAUUAUUCACAUUUUUUCAGUUUCACCGUAAAAAAACAACAGAGCUGCACCACACAAGCAUUAAAUUAAACAUUAAACUAAGAGAUCAAGUAUUUUAAGAGAGGUGCACUAAUUUGGUCGCUCUAUAUAGAGAGAUGUGAUUUAAAGACUUGUUUGAACCAUAACCACAAGGUGCAAAUUGGGGGAAAAUCAUCAAGUAGACAUGGCAUGCAUUCAACACUAACAUUAUAGCUUCCUCAAGUUAAAAAUAAUAAUAAAUUUCCAAUGUUGUGUUGUUAAGAAAGUCAAGAAGAUUUAAUCACCUGUUCAACAUAUGAUAAGAGAAGAUGUGGCAGCAGAACAGGCUGUGCCCUUUGCAGAUGAGUAUAACCCGGGACUAUUAAGUCAACAUAUUUUGAAGCCAAAAUAACCAAAGACACCUGAAAUGAUAAGAGUUAUGCUAAUAUUAGAAGUGAACACCUUCUUCAUGUAUAUAGGGAAAUAGAAAAAUUAUGUAUUACGUAGCAUGACAGAAUGGAAUCACUGGUGCAGUCAUGAGAAUACACAACAUCAGCCAUCAGGUACUCAAAACAGCUUUUCUUUAAGUCUUUACUUGAAAACAUUAAUCUAUUCUUUUGCAUCAGUUCUAGAUAAAGCACAAGGUUAAUUGAGCAGAAAACAGAAAAGUACAACACCGGCAAGCAGUGAGAGAUAGAAAAGAAAUGUGAACAUAAUAGUGGUAGGACUUCAUGAGCAUCACAGAGUAUAUUCUGGAGCAAACCUGAAGCUGCUUGAUACGAAUCAAAAUCUUGUCAAUAGCAUCACGGCACCAUAGCCUUAGAUCUGUCACAAUUUGGUCAUUGCGGCUCCUAGCAGUAUGCAACUUCUUGGCUGGCUCACCAACCCUCUCAAUCAGAGCCGCUUCAAUGUUCAUAUGCACGUCCUCCCGGUCCUUCCUCCAUUCAAAUUUGCCUUCUUGGAUCAGCCUCUCUAUCUGAUCAAGCCCCUCUAAGAUGAUAUCCCUAUCAGUAGCUGUUAUCAAACCCUGCAUUGCAAAUUAUUGCAACUUAUUCAGACACCCAACUCAAAUAUUAUGAUAAUUAGUUUUAAGUAACAUAUAGCUUAAGCAUUAAGACAGCCAAUUUGAUUCAGCAUUUGACCAAAAUACAAAGAACAACAUUUCUGGUAAAACCUUGAGGGUAUAAACUCCCUCAGUGCCACCUAACAGAAAAUUAGCAGAUUUGAACACCUAUGGAUCCCAGCAAGAGCAUAGCAAAGGAGCACAACAAAGAAGCACAAGCUGGCAUUUUCUCGAACACAUGGCGACCAAGGUGGUUAAUAGCGGGUUAACCCAGACCAACAACCCCCAAACCGUUCGACGGAGCCCUGGACCUGACGGGACAUCAGUCGAACACCUAGACGACACCGACCGCCAAGGAGCGUGCAGGUGAUACCUGGCCGGCGAGCAUGGAGGCGUGGGCCUUGCUGCCCAUGAUGUCGUACUUGUAGAGUUGCCAGUCGUAGGAUAUGGACUCCGUGAAGCGCUCCACGGCGUCGGUGACGCCCUCCUCGAACCGCCCGCCCCACAGCUUGGCUUCCCUCUUAUCUUCGCUCUCCGAGGACGCCAUCGAGGUGGAGGCCGCCGCGAGGGGCGGGAAGGCG
This 84779-nucleotide long non-coding RNA is filed under the name Sorghum bicolor (sorghum). Its description in RNAcentral is "long non-coding RNA (SBIC_LNC001635)". The stretch from base 67189 to 67297 matches the Rfam family "MIR5565 microRNA precursor family". Lineage: Eukaryota; Viridiplantae; Streptophyta; Magnoliopsida; Poales; Poaceae. The record is from RNAcentral.